UUCUUUGCACGUUUGGUAGGACACUUUGAUGUUGCCGAUGAGAUCACGCCGAUCAAAAUUGAUAACUUUGACUGAGCUUGUCUCAUGAAGGUAGUGAUCGCUAUUCUAUUGUAAGUAAUCUAUUGGCAUCUUAGAGAUGAAUUGGAACCUUGCUUCCUACUGUCUGCAAUUGUUAAUCACGCGUUGUUGUGCUGGUGCAUGACUUUGGACUGUCCAUGCACAUCAUUGUAUGUCCAUCCUGCUUGUAUACUUGGCCAGAUUCCAAGUAUGAGAAUUGGCUUAAUGAUGCAAUGGCGUCAAUUACCUGUCAUGGUUGAAUAUGAUGGUCGAAUUGCCCCUCAUUCUUGAAAUUGAUAUGAUCAUCACAUUCCAGCUGCAAUUGUGCACUUUUGGUUCCAUUGAGCUUCAUGGCUUUUUGCGUGACCUUCUAUCUUUCGCUAAGCAUGAUUUGAAUCCGCUUUUAUCAUCACAGAAAGGGCUACUGUUAACAGCAGGCCGCAACAAGUUCAUUCGCUUUGCACUUUAAUAAUACAAAAGGAUAGAAGAAAUUAGAGCCCAUAUCUAUGGGGCGAAACUCUUACGAGAUCGUGGCAAGGGUAUGCUGGGAUUGAGAUGAAUGAAGCCCCAAAUCUAGCGCACAUACACGGACGACUUCUGGGGUUCCUAGAGGCUGGUCCUUCUGGAAACGGUACAGGGCUUUGUAACCGAUUGGAUUCAGUGUUUCUUACGCCAUUAUCGAUCUGUUCUUUCACUUACCAAGGUUGACAAAACUCAUGCUUUCGAUGAGCCUGAAUUAAAAAUCAGAUCUAUCCCAAUAGGAAACCCUUUUAGAUUUCUCUUCAUAACAUCAUACCAUGUCUUUCUUCCUCCCCUUUGUUUGGUCUUGGGUGAUGAGAGAAGAAUACAUUCCGUCACCUAAAGUUGGACAAGUUUUGUUCAACGUUGUUAAUGAAAGACUCAAACCUAACUUGAUCCUUGAAUCUAGGCAUAAAGGAUUGGCUUGUUGGUCAGUCAAACGAGCAUCGUGCGCUGCCCUAAUAUUUGUGCUUCCAUAAUCGGAGACCUUAAAAGCGAAAGGAAACUUGGGAAAAGUGUACCAUAAAAAUUAGGUUGAGAACUUAAUGCCCAACAUCAUUUAAAAUAAAGUAAAGGAACACGGUCAAAAUUUGACGAUUUUCCUAGAAAGAAACUUAUUCUGCGAUCAUCAAUGUAAAUCAACUUAGCAAUAUUUGGGAUUUAUCUAAUAGCCUUUUUGGAUUGCAUUAUUUGCUGUUUGCUUGAAUCAUCACAUCCGCAUACAUUCAGUUUCUUAGUCAUAUGAUAAAAAAAACACAUUUCUCUUUGUCAAAACCUUUAGGCUUUCUUAGUCAUAUGAUCAAAAAACACAUUUCUCUUAGUCAAAACCUUUAGGCUUUUCUUUUAUGUGUCCAAAAUUCAUAUACAAUUCAAAUCUCAACCAAAUGCAUCUACCGUAUUUUAAGGGCAAAUAUCAUUGUCUCCUUUUAGAACUCAUACAAGCCACUAUUAGUAGGACUCCUCAAAUAGCCCUCAAAAUCUUCAUUAUAUAACUUAAACCAACACUAACUGACCAAAAAAGAAAAGAAAAAAGUAAAUUAACACUCAAUUGAUUCAAAGGCACUUGAGAAAAUCGGUCUUUUCUUCAACUUUGGGAUGUGCCUUACAUUAGUCAAUGUUCUCAUGAUACUAUCAUCCAUCCUUAUUCUUACGUCGCCAACACACAAUCCAAGCAUCUAAUAGAGAAUAAAUCUUUCUAGAUCCACUAUCUUUUCCUUUCUAUGUGCUGGCUAGCAUUUAAUGAGGUCUUCGUUCUCGAGUUCAUGCAGCCCACCAUAAAUCUAAAGCUCACUUUGUUUUUCCAUGGCUUGCUUAUAACUAAUAUUUUACUAUUCAAAACCCGUCGCACCUACUUGCUCCACGACAAUCAAAGCAUUUGAUGGAGAAGAAAUUUUUCUAGGUGCCCACUGCCCAUAAUCUUUUCCUUUUCAUAUGUCUGCUAGCAUUCAGUAAGGUCUUGAUUCUUGACUUCACGCAAUGUUAUCAUAAUUCUCGCGCAAGUUGAUUUCUUUUUAUUUUCAUGCUUCAAAAGUUCAUUAAAUAAUUGCAUCUUUUCUUUCAUUUUUCUUCGUGCACAUACCUUGAAUCAAGACUUUCUUUCAAUAGUCCAAAUCUAACAGUCAAAUCUAGGAACCAUCAACCAAACGUAACGUGCUCAAAUCCAACUAUCAAAACAUUAUAUUAUUCAAACAUCUCGCUGUCGUAUCCACUUUCUCUCGCUGCUCUCCUCUGUUCUUCCCCGAAGUCCAACUUCAAUCAUCUCGCUCGAAUCCUCGUCGCCCAGUCGUCGUCCGUCAAACCGCAACCCGGAAAGCACGAGACCAUGGCUUCUGCACCGUCGUCCUCAGAAACAACUGCUGAGAGACAGAGAGUCACAGCUCCGUAUGGCUCUUGGAAGUCACCCAUCACCGCCGACGUCGUCUCCGGCGCCUCCAAGAGCCUUGGUGGCAUCUCCGUCGAUGGCGACGGCCGUCUUGUCUGGCUUGAGUCCCGUCCUAACGAAGCCGGGUAUGUUACUCCACUUACCAUUUUCUUUAAUAAGAAGGAUAAGCUAAUUAAAACAGAGUAUGCGGGCACUAUUUUCUGGGUACUGUGAAUGGUGCUGAAAUGAUGCUUUCGUUACUGUGUAAUCUUUAUGGUUCGUGAAAUGAAUGAGUCUGGAGAGCUUUCAGGAGUGUACUGACUUAUGGAUGGUUAUGAUGGCUAUUAGACGCUCUGUUCUUGUGAAAGAACCGGGAAAGCCAGGAGAUGAACCUGUUGACAUCACGCCCAAAGAGUUUGCAGUGAGGACUCUGUGUCAGGAAUAUGGCGGUGGUGCUUUUAGCAUUUCCGGGGAUACUCUUGUUUUCUCGAAUUACGAGGAUCAGAGGCUGUACAAGCAGUCCUUACACCUGGAAGGUAAGCUCAGUGGCUGCUGUAGUGCGCGUUGAAGGUCUGCUUCCUUUGGGAUUAUAAUUGUAAUCUUCAGUCUAUUCACAAAGAAGUUUACAGUUGGAUUUGGUAGCGCCAUGCUUAGAUCCUUACAGAUGGUAGACAUGUUGUGAUAUGAUUGGAGGGUAAAAAGAACUGAACUUGAAGCAUAGACUAUGCCUCUUUAGAAAUGUUGUGGUAAAACUUCCUUUCCCAUUUCAAUUCUCCUCAGUCUCUAGAAUACGUUAUGGGAAGCAGUGACUCCGACGGAAGCAAACUUGCUAUGAAAUGUUGCCGAUUGGAAUUGAGAAGGCCACUUGGAUUUUCCUAAUACACGUUUUGCUGAGUGAAGCCUUGUGUUUUAUCGAAGUUUUUGUAGAGCAGUAUCUCAUUCAUCAAUGACCAUCACACUUCUGUGGUUACUCUGUAUCUCCGACAGAUUCUCCUCCAUUGCCAAUUACUCCAGACUAUGGUGGGCCUUCAGUUUGUUAUGCAGAUGGAGUUUUCGAUAGUAGAUUUGGCCGUUACAUCACCGUAAGGGAAGGUAACUACUCUUUGAAGGAGCUUAUUUUGGUGCUCCUAUUUUCUGGGGACUAAUGAAUAGGAACUUACCCGACUGCUUUUAUAUGAAUAUAGAUCGGCGUGACAGCAGCUCGAAUCCAACAGCUACAGUUGUCGCUAUUGGCCUUGGUGAGAAGGAUAUAAAGGGUAAGUAAUUGCUGGGCAUGCCAGAUUAGUUAUUUGCUACAUUAACUUGUUCACUGCAAUACCAGAAACCUACUGAUUCUUUUUCUUUCUUUUACCCUUCAUUUUGUUUUCAUAUUAUUGGGUGGAAUUUAGAGCCCAAAGCAUUAAUCAGUGGCAAUGAUUUCUUUGCUUUUCCACGGAUGGAUCCAAAGGGCGAAAAGAUAGCAUGGAUUGAGUGGUGUCAUCCAAAUAUGCCAUGGGAUAAAGCAGAACUCUGGGUUGGGUACAUCUCAGAGGCUGGGUAUGUAGAUCGAUGUUCUUUUUUAUCGUUCAACAUUCUCAUGUCCAUUAACAAAGCCAUUGUCACCAUUUUCUUAUUGCCAACAGAUUUUAGAUUUUGUUGCAACAAUUCUUUCACUUGUGAGACAGAUAAGGGUUGUUUAAACAAAUUCAUGCUAACAAGGGAGAGUCCUCUAACCUUGACAUUUCCAUGUGACCUUAUGUGCACUAUUAUAGUAGUUGAUUCAUGUAGUCUGAGUAUAUUAAAUGUCAGAACAUGUUCUUUUCAGGUAAUGUUGAUGUUUAGAGACCUAAGCAAAUUUCCUGUCACAUUUUUAUCUUAUUUUUUAGUACAUAGAACUAACCAUAAACACCAUCUGUAACCACGAUCUUGAGCUUUGAGUGGUUGUCAAACUUUACAUAUCAUCCUGCUCAUUGAACUUAUUACCUUAGCCUAGAACAGCCAUGGCUAAUGGUGAGCUGUGAGCCAAGUGAGCCAAGUGAGCCAAGUGAGUUGCAACUUGUGAUUCAGUACUUAUUUGCAUUUUCCUGUCACUUUGUCUGAUCAACUCUUCAUGUGAUUUUAAGACACUCGUAACCUUUCCUUAUGUUUUUUCUAUGUGCCAUAUUCACACUAUUUUCUUGUGCAUUGAAUUUCUUGGUACUCCUAUGCAGAGAUAUUUAUAAGCGUGUCUGUGUUGCUGGUCGUGAUCCUAAAUAUGUUGAGUCACCAACUGAACCUAAAUGGUCUCCAAAAGGUACUUCUAUGCGUUGGCUUCCAAUUUGAAUUUCGGAGUUGCUGCAACCGAAUUUGUCAUUUGAUGAUACAUGUUCGUUUUUCACCUGAUGAUCUUCAAUGCUGAAGAAAUGUGAGAUUGUAAUAUUAUCGUGAUGUGAAUGAACAAAAAAAGGAGCCUGAUCCCCCAAAAUAAUCGUUGAAUGUAAAUGGCCUAUUCCCAAUUCUAGCUAAUCUGCCUGAAUAACAUAUUGGGGUCGUCUGAUUAAUUUGUUCAUUGUGUUGCUUUUGUGAUGAUCUGAGGAUGUCAGUCUUAUUCAUAAUGUGCUAACAGGAUGAAAGUCCUAUAGUUCUUUUCAUUGGUAUUUCAUGUUUUCCCUUAAAUAUGUAUUACUUAAGAUAUGCAUCUAGAGUCCUCUAGUAUGUCUCUUGCUUACUGGUGAUUUAUUUUUACACUUCUGCUAUUUUUCUUCCUUUCCACUCUACUCGGAUCAUCGAGUCUGGAGGCAUGCUAAAUCUAUUUUACUGUAGAAGCUCUGGAUAUGUAAUAUUUCAGUGAAAACAUAGGAGGAAAUGUCAAAUUUAAGUGGCUUGAAAUUGUGGCAGACAUUACAUUCUGCUUUGAACACAUGCAGGUGAACUAUUUUUCAUUACUGAUAGGCAGAAUGGAUUUUGGAAUCUCUAUAAGUGGGUAAGUACUGGUCACCGAACCCUGAGUUGUUGCUAUUUAUGUGUGUCGAGUUUAAAAUGGCCAGAUAUUAUAGAUGCUUCAAUUCAUUGAAGAUUUUUUAUAGCGACCAAGCGUGAAACAUUAAAGAGGAUAGUCAAAGAAGGAAACACGAUUUUUUUGGUAAAACCCUUUUGAGAAUUAGAAAAGGGAAAAAACAUGGUGUUGCACUAGGCAACAAUUAGCAGCAAGUUUCAAGUCCCAAUUACAAAAGAGAUUGCCACAAUAUAUAACAAGAGUCAAAACCAUAUAAAGUUAUAGAGAAAAUUACAUGUAUACGUUUAGUAGCAGUACUUUCCUCUCUACUUAAUGGCACUUUCCUCUAUCAGACUUCACAUCUCCAUCAAUCUCCCACUUUGAAGCUGAUCUUUGCUACAACAAUAGUCUCUCAUCGUCUUCCCUCAUUUUUGUAACCUAAAUUGUCCUAGUGUGGCACCUUCUUAUCACUAACCAGAGCACAGUUUCAGUUUCUCAGCGGUGACAACCUUAGUUAAUAUGUUUGCUGGAUUCUUCACAUCAAGGACCUUCUUCAAUUACAAUGUCCUACCAUCUAUUAACAAACGAAUAUGAUACUUCUACUAAAUGUGUUUUGUCCUUGAGUGAAAUACGAGAUAUUUUGCAAGACGAAUAGCUUACUGUCAUUAAAAAGGACAUUGCAAUCCUCCUCCCUACUUAUCUCCUUCAGAAAAUUCUUCAACCAAAAUCUUCUCCUUACUAGUUCUAGAUAUAGCAACAUACUCUACUUCAGUGGUAGAGAGGGAUGCACGCUUCUGAAGUCUAGACAUCCAAUUGAUUGCUGUGUCACUCACAGUAAAAUCAUAACCUUAAGUGCUCUUCUUAUUGUCCAUGUCACCAUUAAUAACUGCAUCAACAAAGCCUUGUAAAGUCGCACUAUUUUUCAUAAAAUAAAGUGACAUACUUGAAGUGCCUCUUAGAUAUUUUAAUAGCCAUUUUACAGUUCUCCAAUGCUUUUCCUAGAUUAGUCAUAUAUCUGCUCACAUCUCAUACUGCAUGAGCUAUAUUUGGUCUAGUACUCACCAUAGGAUACAUCAAAAUGCUGAUAGCUGACGUAUAAGGCACCCUAGCCAUAUAAUCUCGCUCAUCAUCUCUCUUUGCCGACUACUUCUCUGAGAGCUUGAAGUGACUGCCUAAAGGAGUGCUUAUGGGCUUUGCAUUCAGGAUCCAAAUCAGUCCAACACCUUCUCAAUGUACUUUUCUUGAGACAACUUUUUCCUUAGAAUCUAUCUCGCAGGGUCCUCAUCCAAGAAUCUAAUUUGCGGCUCAAAGUCCAUUUCAAACUCCUUUGGUAAUUGUUGCUUCAGUUUGUUGAUCUCCCUCAUGCUAGAUCCUGCAAUGAGCAUAUCAAACACAUACAACAACAAAAUAAUAUAGCAGUUACCAAAUUUCUUGAAAUAGCAACAAUAAUUUAUUUCACGUCUAGUGAACCUGUUACUGCAAGUGCGUCAAAUAUCUUGUACCACUAUCUAGAAGCUUGUUGUAAAUGAUACAAACUUGUACUCAACUUGCUGACGAUAGUUUUCUUUGCUAGGAACCUGAAAAACUUAUGAUUAUUCACUGUAGUUAUCAUUCUCUAAGUCUUCAUGGAGGAAUGCAGUCCUUACAUCUAAUGCUCUAGAUGUGAAUUCUUAGUGGCAAAGGUAUUCAACACUGGCCUGAUAAUAGUCAACUACAAAACUAGAGAGAGAAUUUCUAUAUGCUCAACUUCUUUCUUUUGCUAAAAACAUUUCAUUACUAACCUCACUUUGGACCUCUUGUUACCAUUAGGUAUUUGACCUUGUAUGCCCAAUUGUUCUACAAUGCCUUCUUCCCAUCUAGUAACUAAGUUGACACCCAAAUUCUGUUCUACUCGUGUGAAUCAAAUUCAUCUCGCAUUGUCAACUCCCACUAAACAGAAAUUUUAACCUGCACUGCUUCCCAAAUUUUUUUUGGUCCGCCAGCAUUUGUCAAAAGCAAAUAAUGCAAUGGUCUAGAAUACCUUUGUACACGGUUAGAUGUUCUGCUAAAUCAUCUCAAAGUGAGUUUGGAUGUAGGUAGUUCUUGUUCUGGUUAUUAAUCGGAGUCUAUAAUAGCAGUUUUAUGAUCUCUGAUCUGAACACUCUUAGAAAUUCCCUUCAAUUUAAUCUCUUUAAUCUCUUCUGUGUUUUCUCACACUAGAUUCUACAAUAAAUUUGUCCUUUUACGUAACAUCAUUCGUUCUUAUUAUUUUCCUGUUUUGGUCAUUUCAAAACCAAUAGCCAAAGUGACCAAAAUCAUAUCCAAUGGAAAAACAUUCUCUAGAUUUUGCAUCAAGCUUGUCUCUAUUUUCAAAAAUCUAUGUGCGCAUAUAAGGCACAACAAAAAUUUUCAAAUGCGAGAGAUUCUCUCAUUGUUUCUGGUCCAUUGUUUUGGUAGUUCGAAAUCAAGUGAAAUUGAAGGUCUUAUUUCAUCAAAUAUGCUCCUGUGCUAACUGCAUCUGCCCAGAACGUCUUGGGUAAUAUUACAUGCAUCCUCAUACUUCUUGCACACUCAUUCAAAUUUCUAUUCAUCCUCUCAGCAACUCCAUUUUGCCAUGGUGUGAUGCAACUGUUCUUGUCAUCCUCAAUCUACUCUCUGCAUAAAACUACUUGAACUCCUUGCUAUUUUUGAAUCAUUAGAUGGAUCUUCUUCUAACCACCAUUGUCAGACCUUAGACAUUUAAUCAUCAGAUCGACCUCUUUCUCUACUUCAGCUUUCCAUCUUUUAAAAGUAGCAAAAGCAUCAAAUUUAUUAUAUAGAAAAUAAACUAGUACCUCUCUGGUGGAAUUGAUAGUGAAUGUGACGUAGUUGCUUGUAACUCCAAGGGAAGGAACAGGGGCUAGCUCUCAGACAUUUGUGUGCACCAACUGUAACUUGUUUUUCUUUAAUUCUCUUCCAAUUUUUGAAAAAUUGACACAUUUUUGCAUGCUUAGAACACAAUCCUCACAUAGACCCCUAUCUAUGGACUUAAGAUUAGACCAUUUUCCCUUUAAUGAUAACACUUUCACCCCUCAUUUGCUCCUGUGUCCAAGCCUUCGAUGCUGCGGUGUACAAUCCCUUACCAAGCCAGGAACUGCUACUAUAUCUCUAUUGAUUUCACUCAUGUAUUUGUUCCCAACUUUGCUCCCUAGGACCAUUAACAAUCUUCCCCGAGCCAUUUCUAAAAAAAGGUUUUUUGUAACCCGUGUUGUCUCAGUGACCUAUAGAGAUUAGAUUUCUCUUAAGCCAGGAUUAUAUCUAAUAUCACGCAACUCUAAGUAAUACCCAUUAGCAGUCCCUAUGUUAACAUCACCUUUACCCAUCAUAUCCAAAGCAAAAUGAACCUUUCUAAACUUCCUAGCAACAAUACUGUGCAUUCAUUCUCUACACGAAGUAGAGUGAAACGACGCACCCAAGUCUAGAAUCCAUGACUCAGUUGGACUUUUAAUAAUAAAAAUUAAGGCAUCAUGGACAAGUGCCUCUUCAAAGGUUUACAUUGCCAGCUUUCUCCUCCUUUUGAUUUCAAUACUAAAUUUUCUUCUUUUGGCUCUACAAUCUUGCUUCAGAUGGUCCUUUUUUUCAUAAUUCCAGUAGAUUAUUCCACCAUGAGGUCUCAAUUUUCAUAUCCCUCUAGACUUCGAUCUACCACAGUUCCAUUUUGACCUUGUUGGUUACUUCUCUCUCUGCCUUCAGUACUCAAGGCAAUGCCCGAAGAUUCACCCGACUCUCUUUUAUGAAUAUCCUCACUGAGAAUCAAAUCUCAUAUCCUCUCUCUUAUUUUGACUAGACAAACUGUUCACUACAGUCACAUUUGUACUCCAACUUCUAGGGAGAGAAGAUAACAAAAUCAAAGCUUUUGCUUAUCGUCAAAUUUGAUUUCCACCAAACUCAAUGAUCAUGUUGAAUUUAUUGAUGUAAUGUGUCACGGAAGUGCCUUUGUGCAUCUUUUGAUUGAACAAUCUUGUAUGACGCAGAGGGCUUUUCGUACAUGUUGGACAAAGCCCUCAUCAAUUCUGGCGUUGUUUUCUCGUUAACGAUGUUGAAGGUGUUUCACACCAACAUGAGAUGAAUCACAGAAGAACUUUUCGAUCUAACAAUUCCUAGUCUUCUUGAUCGAAUCUGGUUCUCUCCCAACAGAGGCUGAUGCAGUUUUUUGAUAAAGCAAAUCUUGAUCACUUCUAGAACCAAAAUCUUUGCCGUUGAACCGAUCAAUUUUCACCUUACUUUUGUCCUAUCUGGUCACCCCCGCUAUUCCGCCUUACCAGACUCCAGUACCAAUUGUUAGGAGCGCGAAAUGUAAAAGAGAAAAAUUAUAGAUACAUACAAGAAUUUUAACAUGGAAAACACUUUCAAAAUGACAAUGGUACUGCACUAGGCAAUCUUUUCACUAUUAGUAUCAGUAUCAAGUUUCCAGUUACAAUUGCAGGAGCAAUUAUCAUAUGUAGCAAGAAUCUAAGGCAUACAAAGUUAUGGUGAAGUUACUUGUAUACCCUUAGCAGCAGUACUUUCCUCUCUGCUUUAAUAGCACUCCACUAUCAAACUCCGCAACUCCAUCACGUCUUAUAGUAACCAAGCCAAAGUGGGUUUUUUCCGAUGGUUAGUCAUACUGGAAAUUUAAUCGAUCUCCUUAAUUUUCAUAUUACACUUCACAAGAAUUUAGACUGUAUCAGUCAAAUAGUGGGGACUUUGGAUGUCACACUGUGAAAACUAUGAAUGAGGAGAGUUUAUUAUAGUUAUAGGUUUUCUGCAGGAGAUUGAGUCCUUAUUGCAUAUGUUAGCUCUUUUAGCUGCCAUUUAUACUGGCAUAGCUCCAUCGUCAUGGUGUUGGAAGUGAACUACUUUAUGUCUUUGCUAUGCUUCAUGAUUCAACAGAUUGAGUCUGCAAAUGAGGUCCUGCCUCUUUAUCCAUUAAAUGCUGAGUUUGCAAGGCCAUCAUGGGUUUUUGGCUUGAACUCUUAUGAAGUCAUCCAGAGCGACGAACAGAAGACCCUGAUUGCUUGCAGCUACAGGUGAGCCUUUUUUUCUGUUUUAACAUUGUCCUAAUAGCCCAUUAUGGUAUCUUACCAAUCUAUUUGAAAUCUUCCUGCAGGCAGAGUGGAAGGUCUUUUCUUGCGAUGAUCGACGUUCGUCAUAGCUCAUUAUCAUUGCUAGACAUUCCAUUCACAGAUAUACAAGAUAUAGUACGUUCAAUACCAUCUCCAUGAUGAGUCGCUGUAACUACUUUUCAAGCUGACGGUUCGGUAAAUUGUGUACAUUCUGCUUUUGCAGACUUCAGGGAAUAAUUGCCUUUACGUUGAGGGAGCAUCAGGACUACUUCCAACAUCUGUGGCUAAGGUGCUUGCAAUACUCUACCUUAGUAAUCUCCUCAUAAUUGAUGAAGUGUGAACAGAGCUGUAAUAAUAGCAUUAUCUCAGUAUUAAAAUUUUCUUUGUUCAUGGUUUGCAGGUGACUUUCAAUGAUGAAAAGUCAGAAGGCAUUGAUUUUCAGAUAAUAUGGUCAUCUUCGCCAGACUGUUUGAAGUACGAGUCGUAUUUCAGCUUGCCAGAGCUGAUUGAAUUUCCAACUGAAGUUCCUGGUCAAAAUGCUUAUGCAUACUUCUAUCCUCCAUCUAAUCAUGUUUAUCAAGCUAGUGCGGAAGAAAAGCCUCCACUGUUGUUAGAAAGCCAUGGUACUUGAAAAAUUGCAACUCAGUUAUUGUCCUACUUGAAUUCACCUUGCCAACUCUAUAUUCUUCUGUGGGAACUUUGUACUACCAAACUGGUAUUUUCAUUCACAAUAAUCAUUAAUUGACCUUACUUGUCAAAUCAAGUCUUUAUUUUGAUAUAAAUCUAUGAUUCAUUGGUGAAUUUUCAGACUAAACAAGUAUCCAGCAUCAGUUAUAGAUAUUAUAGAUGCGCAAAACAAGUCAGUGCAUAUGCAACUGAUGCUGAAUGAAGAUGGAGUCAAUGUAGGGAACAUAUUUUUUCAAAACUAUAUUGAUAUGGUAUACUGUACACUGUUGCCCCUCUUAACACCUGUAUUGCAAUGUUAGUCAUGCAUUGGAAUGGAAUAUAAUGAUUGCUUGGCACUUUUGUUGACAUAUAUGCAUGGUAUACAUUUGGGGCAUGUUUUAUGACAAUUCAAGCUUUUGGGGGAAAUGAUUAUUCAACCCGGUAUCAAAGGUGUUAAAAGUCCAAAUCUCCUCUUGUUGCCAUUCUGUUUUUUACUUUCAUUUAUCCUCUGAUUGCUGUUAAAUUUGGUUAUUUUCACAUCUAAGGUCUAGCAUACACUGAAGGGGGAGUGUUAAGACAUAUCUCAACAUUAAUUAUGGGCAUAAUUUUGAACAACUUAGGUUUUUCCAGAAAAGAAUGGCCUUUUUGACAAUUUUGAGAAUAGCCUCUCUCUCUCUCUCUCUCCCUCCCUCCCUCCUUUAAAAAAAAUAAAAAAAUUAGUGGGAGUAACUGGCAAUUGUUUGUUCCAAGUAGCAUUGGCAUGCAUCAAUAUCUAAUCAUAUUGAUCUGGUUAUUCGGGAAUGUUUAUGUAAUUAUGCUUAAAAUUGCCCAGGAGGGCCUACUAGUGAAACACGAGGAGUUUUGAACCUGAGUAUUCAAUACUGGACUAGCAGAGGAUGGGCUUUCGUGGAUGUCAAUUACGGUGGAAGCACUGGUUUGUCUCUAUAUGAGAACUUUAUGCUUCAUAUCAUUCUCUUGAUUUCUGCAAAACCUGUUUAUAAUGAACCACCCUUACUAUCUCGACAGCCCUAUGCUUUAUUCUUGUCAAUUCCUCAUGGAGUUUAAUUAACAUAAAUGGCUGCAAAAACUACUUGCUUGGGCCCAUCAUUUGAUUAAUCUUCUUCAUUGCUACUGAAAGAUGUCACAACUUUUCUUCAAGGUUAUGGCAGAGAAUUCAGAGAGCGGCUAUUGGGUCGCUGGGGCAUAGUUGAUGUUGAUGACUGUUGUAGUUGUGCUAAAUUUUUGGUACGUGACUUUCAACUCGUUUUUCUGUUAGUGCUCGUUGGGGAAUAUAAUACUGUUCAGUAUGGUGAAGUUGCUUUGAUCAUCCAGGUGGAAAGUGGAAAGGUGGAUGGCACUCGUCUAUGCAUUACUGGAGGCUCAGCUGGUGGGUAUACAACCUUAGCUGCUCUAGCAUUUAGGGAAACUUUCAAAGCUGGAGCCUCCCUCUAUGGUGUGAGUUCAUUUACUUUGUAGUUGGUUUCAGAAUAGCUAAACUUUAAUCGGCGCCAAUAUCGGGAUACUGGCUUAUUUAUGGGGGCAUCAGAGGCAGGUUGCUCUAAUCUUACCCUGACAAAGCACAUGAACAUACAAAGGAGCUCUGGAUUCUGGGGAUUUAUUGCCUUCAACAUAGUCAUUGAUCAUUCUUGGUGAUUUGCUUGUUGCUAGUGAAUGAUAUAUAGCAUUUUCAUUGUGUUGGUAUCGGAUGGAUCAACUGGAAAGUCUACUAGCAAGGGCCCACUGUUAAGGACGUUACUUUCAUGACUCAUAAAGUACCAAAAGGCGUUUCAUUACAGUUUGUUACUGUGCAUCGGUCAUGGUGUUUACUUGAAAUUCUAGAUAUUUAAAUUUCCCCAUUUCAUUUGAUACUUCUAAUGAGUCAUUUAUUAAUUCAUCAUUUAUUUCUGCUAUUAAAGCAUUGAAUUUUCACAAUGUUAAAAGAGAUUAUUUUGCUGUUAUUGUGUCAAACAGAUUGCUGAUUUGAACAUGUUGAGAGCAGAAAUGCACAAGUUUGAAUCUCAUUACAUUGACAACCUUGUCGGUAAUUCAGAUAAGCUUUUGUGUGUUUCAUCUCUUCUCAGAUAAGUCUUUAUUCUGAUCAUCCAUUUGUUGCACUACAGGAUCUGAAAAGGAUUGCUACGAGAGAUCGCCUAUAAACUUUGUUGAGAAAUUUUCUUGCCCCAUAAUUCUAUUCCAAGGAUUGGAAGACCAGGUACGCUAGUCUUACUCUUUCCAAUGGUCACCUGCCCCUCUGCUGUUACUCCCCAUAAAUUAAAGAAAAACUAAAGAAAAAAAGGGGGAAGAGUCCAGUGUCUAAACGAGGGUCCUCUUUUUUCCCCCCUAAUUUAUGAAAUAUCGUCAGAUAAGUUCGACUUUUUCUUUCCAAUUGAUAAGUAGAUGUGAUCAAUGGCCUUCAGAUUUAUUUUGUACAUCUCUGGCAUUUUAAAAACUUUGCUGCUUGGCGGUUUAGCAAUUAUCUACGACAUCUUGUAGGUAGUACCGCCAGGUCAGGCUCACAAAAUUUAUGCGGCAUUGAAGCAGAAAGGUCUGCCUGUUGCAUUAGUGGAAUACGAAGGCGAGCAGCAUGGUUUUCGCAAGGUAUUGUUCUUCUGGAGUCUUACACAAACAAGUCAUUUGUUGUGUGUGCAGUGUACGGAAUUGACAUACAAUGUUUUGCAGGCUGAAAGUAUAAAAUUCACAUUAGAACAACAAAUGCUGUUUUUCGCACGUUUAGUGGGACACUUUGAUGUUGCCGAUGAGAUCGCACCACUCAAAAUUGAAAACUUUGACUGAGCUUGCCUCAUGAAGGUAAUGAUGUGCUCUUCAAAUGUUAGUAAUCUGUUGGUAACGGAGAGGAGGAUCGAAACCUUGCUUUCUACUGUCUGCAACUGUUAAUUAUACAUUGCUGUGCUACACAUGACUUCGUCCAUGCGCAGUGUUGUAUGUCCAUCCUGCUUUUAUAAUUGGCCUGAUUGCAAGUAUGAGAAUUGGUUUUUUAAUGCAAUUGUGUCAAUCAACCGUUAGGGUGGAAUAUGAUGAUCAAAUUGCCCCUCAUUCUUAAAAUCUAUUUGAUCACUGCAUUCCAGUGCAAUUGUGUGCAUUUUUGGUCCCAUUAAAUUUCAUGGGUUUUUCCGUGACCACUUACUUUUCGCUCAGCACCAAUCAAUUGACUUUUGUCACCGUAGAAUGGUCACAGGGAGAGGCGGUCCCCAAUAAGUCCAUUGGCUUUGCAGCCUCAACUUCAUGUCACCUGUUCAGGAUACUGGAAAGCUGGUGAAUUUAAUGUACUACAAAUUUGAAUCUGAACUUCCGACUAGGAGUUUCAAUAUUUGGUGUUGUAACUUCGCUGUUCCUUCAAACCAUUUGAUCGAAUGAUCUGUAGUGAGUGUGGGUGAAUUUGCUCAACAAAUUUGAAUGUGUUUGAAAUGUUUGUGGUGUCGUACCUUUCCAAUAUGUUUGCGGUAUCUUCAAACCAUUUGAUCGUGUGAUGUGGGCCUAGUCCGGUAUGAACUGAAUAUUUUUACCUAAAUUAUAUGUUAUAAGCAGGAGCAGGUAUGGGCAAUACAAAAGGCCCAACCUUCAGCCCAAUUCAAGCCCGCCUGAUAAUCACCUGGAACUAUGUGUAAUCAAUGCAGUGAAGAUGAACAUGGUUAACAAAUAUUCAGCUAGCACUCUUGUUAACAAGACCCUGACGGCACUAUUGGACGAAUUCUGCACAAAAGACGUAUGGUUAUUCAAUACUGGACCUAUGAAGUUAGAAAGCUGCAUAAGUCGGUUGAUCAUGUCCCACUCAAUGUUUGGAGGGUUUUCAUUUCUUAAUGAUCAGCAAGACUUUAAUUAUAAUGUGUAUUAUAGAUUUAAGGUAGUGUCUGUCAACUAAAUGAUGCCUACUCAAGGUUACUGCCCUUUUGCUGAAAUGAGAUGGUUACUAUAUUUGCCUUUCUUGGGGUUGUAAUUUUCAUUUUGUGGCUUACUACACUGGUUUUGAUCCUUCUGAUGUUUCUUGGGCUUUAUUUCCUAUUCAUCUUCAAUGCAUAGUGAUGUAGUGCACCUGUUUUGUGUAGGACCAUCCCCCGUCUCUUUGUUAGUAAGCAUUGUCAUGAAUAUGAAAAAGACUCAUAAUCGUAAGAGCCAACGAGAGCAUGCCAUCCACUCCAUGCUAAGUCACCACUAAUCCAUUAGAUCUUUUUGAGUUGCAGUUGAUGUGACGACCGCAACUCAAUUUUAGUCGUCACAUCAAUCGUAACUCAAUUUGAUAUUAAAUCGAAUCAUCCCUACAUGCGGUAACCCGUCUAAAUGCAUGGAUGAGCUAUCACUAAUUCUUUAGUCAGAAGAGUCUUACCUGUCGCUAUUAUCGCAUAGGAAAUUUUAAUUUCAAAAUUGAGAAGAAUAAAAAGAACCCAAAGUUCAAAAUUCUGUCUUUCUCAUCUCCCCACCUAUCUCCAACUAGUCAUUUGCUUUGGCAUCCAGCCAACGGCGGACCGGCGGUGACAGGGAUUGUGACUUCAACGCCAGUCAGAAGAGUCUUACCUGUUAUUAUUAUCGCAUAGGAAAUUUUAAUUUCAAAAUUGAGAAGAAUAAAAAGAACCCAAAGUUCAAAAUUCUGUCUUUCUCAUCUCCCCACCUAUCUCCAACUAGUCAUUUGCUUUGGCAUCCAGCCAACGGCGGUGACAGGGAUUGUGACUUCAACGCCAGUCAGAAGAGUCUUACCUGUUGUUAUUAUCGCAUAGGAAAUUUUAAUUUCAAAAUUGAGAAGAAUAAAAAGAACCCAAAGUUCAAAAUUCUGUCUUUCUCAUCUCCCCACCUAUCUCCAACUAGUCAUUUGCUCUGGCAUCCAGCCAGCGACGGUGACAGGGAUUGUGGCUUCAACGCCAGUCACCUCUCUCUCUCUCUCUCUCUCUCUCUCUUUCUCUCGCUUCUGGAAUUAAUUAUCUCUGCUUCUUAUUGAUAAAUCGACAAGUCUCAUUUGUUAUCACAUCAUAAUUUCAAUCCAUGACUUUCCCCUUAAAACUUUAUUUCAUGGCUUUGAAGUGGAGAGCACAGAAGGAAUUUGUUAAAAUGUCAAAGUAAUGAUUGUACUUUUUCACUUCCCUUCUUCCCAACAGUGACUUAGAAACCUAAGAAAAAGAUCGAAAAAUUGAAUACUUUCGGGUAUGUUUAUGGAUAUGAUUAUUAGACUUUACAAUUUCUUUUUUCCCUAUUUGCUUUUUAAAAGUACUUUGAAAUUCAUUGAUCUGUCAUUCACCCACCUGAUGUUCUCUAUAACAAACAACAGCUAUGAAUUCAUAACUUCAUAUUUCAUUUUACAAUUUACGAUGUCCUUGAUAUAGUUUAAUAGCAUUACAUAAUAUAUCCUCUUAUUUUCAUGCUGAUAACUAAAUAAGGGAAAAUCAAUCACUUUCCUGAAAAAUGAAUUUUGGAUAAAAAUAUUUCUUUCAACAUAUAUUUUUUCUUGAAACAAACGCAUGAUAAGCCUUUAGAUUAAUUUUCAUUUUACAAUUUACGAUGUCCUUGAUAUAGUUUAAUAGCAUUACAUAAUAUAUCCUCUUAUUUUCAUGCUGAUAACUAAAUAAGGGAAAAUCAAUCACUUUCCUGAAAAAUGAAUUUUGGAUAAAAAUAUUUCUUUCAACAUAUAUUUUUUCUUGAAACAAACGCAUGAUAAGCCUUUAGAUUAAUCUAUGUUAAUGUAUAACAAGUAAGUUGAAAUUGUCGAUUGACCCCUAAACAGUUAGGAUCCCAAAUAAGUCUUGUUGAAGUAGCUAAAGAUGGGAUUAGAAUCAGCCUGGCCUAGUCUUGCUUCCAAAUCUACAAGUGACCUAACUCUUUCCAAACUUUGAACUAGCCGUAAUUCUGUACACCUAAUUCUAAAUCUGAUUAUCUAACUAAUGCGGUAUCAUUUCAACGUUGUUGACCCCCCAAAAGAUUAAACUUUGUAAUCAAAUUUAUUGAUUAGUAUUAGAUAUGUGGCGUCAACAUAGAAAAUUAUUUUGUUAGCUGAAUGAGUUUAUUGACAUACAUACACAAAGCAAAUGAAACAACCUAACUCCCACGUGCCAUUAGAUCUACAAACUUUUUAGACUUACGGGCGACAAUGAUAAUUGACCUUUUUGAACUUAUUUUUCAUAUUCACGAUACUUGUAAUUUCCAUUAUCUUUAUUCCGUAGUGCAUUGGACCCUAAUCAAACUCUAUAUCCGUCCUACCGACUUUCAAUAAACAUGAGAUUAUCCCCUUACUAGCAGGUUCGACAUUAGAACGCAAAGAAAGAAAGGAAACUUUCUAGAAAAUCCAGUUUGGAGAGAACUUGAGAUUUUUAUCGAUAAUUCUAAAAGCAUUAUUAGGCAGUAGACAUGCACGUUUACGACCCCGCUAGAAAUUUUCUUCAGACGAUAUCGGCCAUAUCACUUGUAAAGCAGACACCUUCUCCAAGGCAGGAACGCAUCCUUGUUCAAACAAGGAACACAACCCUAAAGGAACACUUGCCUCGCACCUAAUUGCUCCUCUUCUUCAUCAAAAAUAAUCCUUGGGCAACUACUGGUACAAGGAAACAAGGCAACAUGUCAUGCUUGUGCCCUGGUACUUUGGCCCUAAGGACCGAAGGGAUAGCCCCACCUCACGAUGCAUUUUCCCGAAAGGAAAAAUCAGGGGAGGACCCGCACAGGGAGGAGACAGCGAGACCCAUACCCACGCCAAUUUCAAUAAUGGCCGACUUAUACUUGCGUAGGAUUUCGCCAAUAACGCCCCAAUCAUAUCUUUCUCUCUUCUUCUCCGCUUUGAUUAUCACAUCGGGCAAACUCUCAAGAGAGCAUGACUAAUGCCUGCUAGGGUUGGUGUGAAUGAAACCCCAUAUCCAGCACACAUGCAAGGAUGACUUCUGUAGUUCUCAAAGAUUGGUCCUUCUUGAACGGAUACCGGGGUCCGUAAGCGAUUGGCUCGUUCAGCGUUCGUGCAGGCUUCCACCGAUAAGCUCACUUACACUUAGGCCAUUCUCGAUCUCUUCUGCCUUUUCAAUCACUAUCGUGAAGAAACCUUAUGCUUUUGNNNNNNNNNNNNNNNNNNNNNNNNNNNNNNNNNNNNNNNNNNNNNNNNNNNNNNNNNNNNNNNNNNNNNNNNNNNNNNNNNNNNNNNNNNNNNNNNNNNNNNNNNNNNNNNNNNNNNNNNNNNNNNNNNNNNNNNNNNNNNNNNNNNNNNNNNNNNNNNNNNNNNNNNNNNNNNNNNNNNNNNNNNNNNNNNNNNNNNNNNNNNNNNNNNNNNNNNNNNNUCAUUUUUUCACUUCUUCCCUCCCCAGCCUAGGGGAGGGUAACCUUAUCUAGUCUAGGUGAGGACGGCCCUCGCUUAAGGACAACGACCGCCAUCAACAAGGCUCAAUGAUGGCCCACAAAAGGAAAAAAAGAAAAAAAAAAAGAGAAAUGGAAAAAAAUUUUUUCUUUUAUUUGUUCUGAUGUGAUUUUUUUUUUAUUCCUUUAGGGUUGCCAAAAUUAGGUGUCAACAAUGUUUAUAAAUUUCAUUAUCCUAAUUAAAAAUUUUAGAGCGAAAUUAGCAAAAGUCGAAUAGGUCUAUAUCUUUUUGGACAGAUUUUCCUAUAUUUUUGCCUCCCUUUUGUUUGGUUUCACAUGAUGAGAAAAAUAUACAAUCCAGUGACCGAAAGUUCGACAAACUCUGUCCAACGUUGUUCAUGCAAGGCUCAAACCUAGGUUAAUGAUUGAAUCUAGAACAUAUAAAGAUCUAACCUUUUGGACAGUAAAAGUAGUAUCAUGUCCAGCCCUAAUCAUUGUGCUAAUUUGAUUGGAGACCUUUAAAACAAAAGUAAACACGAGACAAUUGCAUUUUCAAAAAUAUGUGAAAAACUUAACGUACGUUUUAUUUUUUGGCCAAAUGACAUCCGUUAAGAAAAUAAGUAAUCAAAUUCAAUAAUAAUUAGACACACUUCCUUAAAAGAAAAAUUACAAAAAAGUUUUAAACUCAUUGUUUGGAUGUCAAUUCAAUAUUUAACAUUUCAAUUAAAUUAAUUUAAUAUUAAAUUUCUUGAUGAUUUACCAAUAUCGUUCUUCCUAAUUAUGGUAAAAAAAUCACUGAUGUAGACACAUGUUGUCCUAUAUGACAUAUGAACAAUUUUCUCAAUUUUUAAUAAUUAUUAUGAAUUCUAUCUCUUUUCAUGCUUUUUCACUUUUCUUUUAUUUCCUUUUUCUCCUUUUUUUUUAAAUUUUAUUUCCCGCCACUUACUUGUGGCCUCAGUGGUGGUCACCAUCACAAGGGAGGGCCCUCGCCUAGCCUAGAUUUGGCGAGAGACUCAACACCCUUGCCAAAUCUAGGUGAGGGGCCACAAGCCCUUGCAAUGGCCGGCAAGAGCAUCGCAUACCUCGUCCAAGCCCUUACUAGCCAUAGUUUAAAAUAAAAAGUAACAGAAAGAAAAGGGAAAAAAUUAAAAAAUUAUUUAAAAUUUGUGAAAUUUGUUUACGUUAACGAUUUCCUGCCAACAUUAGUUCAAAGGACUAUAUUAGCAAAUUAUCAAAAGAGUUACAAUUAAAUUAGCUAAAUUGAAAUUUUUAUAAUCAAAUUGAUAAUAUAUUAUAAGUUUAUCACUUUUGACAAUUAUAGUCAUUCAAGUAAAUCAACUCUGUAGUCUCUGUGGUUUCUCUAGAAGUUAUACUAGACUACACUAUUUAUUGUUCAUGAGUCAAUAACACUUGCAUACAUGUAGUUCUCCAACCACAUGACCAUACAAUAGUUUUCCUCUCUCCCAAAACCUUCAAGUUUAUUUCAAAUGUGCUCAAAUGCAUAUGCCACAAUUCAUGUCUCGACCAAAUGUCUGACAUCUCAACAAUGAUUUCUGUCGCCGUCUCCCUUGGGAUCUCAUAUAAGCCACUACACUUGAUUACUUUCUUUAUCACCAAGACAUCUCAAAUGGCCUUUAGAGCUUCACCUUUUGAAGUAAUUGAUGCCUAGCUUAAUCAAGGACGAUGAAGGAAAUUGGGUUAUUCUUUAACUUCGGAAUGUAUAUCAUACCAGUCAAUGUUCUCACAAUAUUGUCGUGCAUUUUGAUUAUGACAUUAUCAAAACUAGCAACAAUGCACCGAGCAUUGUGCCCUUUCUACACUGCAUUAGUAAGUAAUAUACUAGUUUUCAAGAACAUUUCAUAUCCAAUAACCAUCUAUCAAAUGAUAAAUCAUCAAUGACAAACAAAACAUAAUGAACACUACCUAAUUACGAUAUAUCAUCUAUAGACUCAACUCUAAUUCUUUUAACCUUUUUCAUUCCUAAGCUUCUUCAAGGAAUCUCAAUUAAUAUGCCUCAUAUUGCCACAAUGCCAAAAGACAACGCCACUUAUCCUAGUCCUCCAAAAUACUUAAUAUCAUCUAGCUUCGACUUUGGAACAUGCAUCAUGAUGGCAGGUUCCACGUGCAUUAUGUUGUGAAAAAGAGACUCGUGAAUAAUUUUCUAAAAGCUAUAGUGCGGCAAGAAAAUUAUUCAAAGGCUAGCCAUGCUCCAGAAACAAGAUAAUAUGAAAUAAAACAGAAUUUACAUACAUAUAGACACACACUGCCCCACUCAUUGCAGCAUUUCAGAUAACUAUCUUAUAUUUAAAUCAUUUAACUUCUAAAGAAAGGCUGUAUAUGCCGACCCUUCCUUGCUUGGAAGAAUCGUCAAUGUCUGCUUCUUUUCUUUUCUUUUUUCUAAACUUGCAGGAACGAAAUUCUAAGAAUCAUGUCAAGGCGAUAGACGGUCUCUAUAGGCACAAACAUUAGCAACUUAUAGCUCUGUUUAUUUAUAGAUAAAUAAUUGAAAACUUUCUUAAAAAUGAUCAUUUAUAUCGCUUGAAAUAAUUAGCCAAUAGAAAUUAUUUUCAUUAUCAAUAAUAAUUUAUGUCUAAAUAUUUGCAUGAAUGAUGAAAAUAUUUAUUAUAUAUUCAAAUUUAUUGACAAUAUAAGCGAUCAUUUUUUAGGAAAUUAUUUUUUAAUUUAAUCACUUUUCGUAAAACAAAUAGAGCCUAAGAUUGCACUUCAUUGGUGGAAUUGGAAUUAUCCAUUGAAGGCGUUGGGUGUCUUGGAUCCUCAUAUGCUUGUGGUCAUGCCGUCUUGAUCAGUUAGGCCUUGCUUUUCUCAAAGUCGCCAGAUUUCAUUUCGUGCUGAUGAUCACAUAAGUCUGGCAAGCAAAGCGUCUCUAAAUGCUCACAUGUGGACUAGAGGACCCCAUCAUGGACACAAUAGCCAGAAGGCCAAACGACAACGCGUUUUAGAUUGGAGAACCAUUCGGAGAUUGUUUGAUUUGCUUGCAUGAAACUCUCACUUAAAGGUUGAAGUGAUUGCAGAGCCAAAAUUGAUAAGGAUUUGCAGAAGGAGAAGAUCAUGGCUGUGGUCGGAUGACUUUUAAUCAAAAUAAAAGCGAGGUCUAGUACAACUCAUCACAUCAUCGGCACAAUCAACUAUUUCAAAACUCUAGUACAUCAUUCAAUAUUGGUCUUCAUCAGUAGUUCAUACACUUUCCGAACUCAUGAUGUUUUCACUGCUUUAUGUCAUUGAAUUGGGACUUUUUCUGCCCUUAAUCAAAAUCAUAGCUUCUCUCUAUUAUUAGAGAAAACUCUUAUAAUAUUUUGAAGCUGACAAAACUUAUCUAAGUUCUAUUAUGAAGAUUGUCAAACUUUUGUAUCAAAGUCUAUUCUACAACAGAAGUAUUCUACAACAGAAACCUGCCCACUCUGACAAAUUCCAGAUUGAACGCAAGUGAAUAAUGAAGAUUCAUCCAGAUGCGGGAUUAUCUUUCUUCCUUCAAGGGUUCGGUUUGUAUGGGUUACAUAUGGCCUUUUUUGGUUGGAAAUAUCGCCAACGAGAUUGGUUAUCUUUAUUGGAAUCAAUUUAAAUACAUCAAAUCUUUUCGGAGGGCAAGUUAAUUUGGAAAGAAUCUACUUAUGAAAACCAAGAUCCUAAUUGUAUGGACGAACAUGAUUGACAAGCUUUCAUCACAAUCUUCAAAUGGCUCGAGAUUUCCUUAAUUGAUUCUGUCCAACGGGUUGAUUGGAAGAAUUCCUUUGAAAAGUGCUAACGGUUGAGAAGGCAUGAAUGGGUAUUUAAGAAGGCCUCUCUAGUCAUUCGAUAGAGUGCGUGAAAGAAGAAUUCCAAAGUUUGAAACUUACCAUUUACUUGUUAUUUCUUACUCUGUGCUCAAAAUUGUACUCAAAAGAGAAAGACUCAAAGUGAGACUUUGUGAGAGCAGUAUAGACUCUUCACUGUGAAGUCAAUAUCACAAUAUUGUAAAUUCUCUUUUGAUUCUUAGUGGAUGUAGGCUUGAUCUAAGCAAAACCACUAUAAAUUCUGUGUUCAUUUUCUCUUCCCUAAACUCCUUUAUUUUAUUUAUUGUGAUAUACUUUUGCAGUUGAAAAUAAUUGUUAAAGUUUGAUUCUUUUUGCAAAGUCUGUAAUCAACCAAACUCAGGUUAAAAGUAAAAAUUUUCACUGCAUUUUGAAAGAAUUUGUUUUCACACCUAUUCACCCCCCUCUAGGUGUUCUUACUAGCCAUUUCAAUUGGUAUCAAAGCUUGUGUGCUUACUUUUUGAAGUGUUUUACUUCUAAGCUAAAGAUCUAGUAUUUUGGCUCCAGAUUUAGUUGAAGGUCAAGGCAACACCAGACCCCCUUACUUCAAUGGAAAUGAGUACAAUGUAUGGAAGAACAAGAUGAAGGAAUUUCUCAAAUCCAUAAAUCCUCUGGAAUGAGAUGUUGUAGAAAAAUGGAUCAACACUAAAGCAACAUUAGCUUCAGACCAAGGGAAAGAAGUUAUUAAUGCUGACAAAACAACAAGAGUUGAAAUUACCAAGAAACAAGCACUUGACAUGAAAGCAAUCUACUCUUUAUACUAUGCCUGAUCUCCCACUGAGUAUAACCGAAUUUCUUCUUGUGAAACAACGAAAAAAGUUUGGGACAGAUUACAUGUUACCUACAAAGGGAUUGACUGUGUGAAGGAAACCAAAAUAAACAUUUUGCUUAGACAGUAUGAAGUCUUCAGAAUGAAGCCUGGAGAAUCUAUUACUGAUAUGUUCAGUUGCUUUAUAGAGAUUGUGAAUGGCCUGGCUUAUCAAGGUCAACCAAUCUCAGGACCAAUGAAAAUCAACAAACUACUGCGUGGGCUUUUGAAAGUUGGAAUCAUGUAAAAACUUCAAUUAGAGAAACUCAAAGGGUUAUACCUCUAUCAGUUGACGAACUGAUAGGCACACUUCAGUUAUGUGAAGUGGAGCAGAUAAAUGAUGAAGAAUAUCCUAAAGGUAAGAAGUCAAUUGCUUUAAAGUCUAAAAUUGAUUCUGAUGAUACAGAUUCAGAUGAUGAUAUGGACGAUGAGGAGCUAGCGCUUAUGAUUAAAAAAUUGAAAAAGCUGAAUAGAAAGGGAAGAAGAUUCGAUUGGAAAAAGCAGAGCAUGCAGAAUUUCCAGAAGAGACCGACGAAAGAAAAUGAAACUAGCAAAGAUGUAAUAUGCUUCGAAUGCAAUAAAAAAAAAGAGGGCAUAUGAGACCAAACAGUCCAUUGUUGAAGAAGAAGAAAGAAAAAACUAAGAAGUACAAAAAUUAUCUCAAAGCUAAAACUUUGUAUGACAUCGAGUGUGAGGAAAGUAAUAUGCAAACAUUUAUCUGAUGGCUCAUUCAGAAUCAGACUUAGAAUUAGAGAUGACUCUGAUUUAGACUCGGACAAAAAAAUUGAGGUUAGUGACUCAAAAAUUCUUGUCAAAGUCUUUAAGUACAUAGAUGAACUUUGUCUCAGUCUUAAAUCCUCUCUUAAAAGGAUUUUUGAACUAAAAAAUGAGAAUUCUAAGCUCAGGCAACAAGAAGUUUCUUGAAAAGAAAAGUUUGAAAGUCUGAAUAGAAGUUUUGAUAAUUUGAAAGAAAAUUUAGAUUCUCUUUCGAAGGAAAAUGCUAUUUUAAAAAGGGACAUUUCAAGUAUUACAAAAAGAUUUUCAAAAAGAUCCGAAAAACUGGAGAAAAUUCUUUCAACCCAAAUUUCCUAUUUUAACAAAUCUGGUUUGGGUAUGACUUCAAAAACUAUUCAAUUAAUUGAUUUUCCCAAAGUAAAUGAGAGAAUUAAACAAAGACCUGCAAGGGCAUUUUACAAAAAUCAUUUUCAAAUUUUUUUUUGUAAAACCUGUUGACCGAAGUGCACUCAGAUAUUCAAAGUGUAACAACUCAGAAUAUUUCGAGAAAGAAUGUCCCAAGAUUUAGAGACCGGUUAAGAACUGGGCAAAGACUGUCUUUAAUACUAACUCUCUUAGACCGAAGAAAAUUUGGGUACCAAAGAAAGUUUGAGUUUUUCUUCUGAUCAUAGGUCACUAUCAAGAGAAAGAUCAAAUGGUAUUUGGAUAGUGGCCGUUCGAGGCAUAUGACAGGAGAUUCAAGCUGCUUCAUAAAGCUUGUUAGACUAAAUGGAGGAAAAGUUUCUUUUGGAGGAAACAACAAAGGAAAGAUUGUAGGUUAUGGAACUGUGAAGAUUGGAAGCCUAACUAUCAAUAAUGUUUCCUUGGUGGAAGGCUUGAACUACAAUCUUUUGAGCAUAAGCCAACUUUGCGAUAUUGGUUACAAAAUAAACUUUCAAGAAGGCAUUUAUUCUGGAACGAGUUAAGACUUCUCUCAAUCAUUUACUAGACAAAGGCAUGACAACAUUUACAUUCUAGACGUAAACCCAGAAAGUGCUCAAUGGCUUAUUUCUAUUCAAGAUGAGGCAAAUCUCUUGCAUCAGAAGCUUGGUCAUGUUAAUAUGAAGCAAAUUGCUAAAAUUUCUUUUAAGAAGCUGAUUUGAGAACUUCCUAAUCUAGCUUAUCAGAAGUCUGAAUUAUGCACUCCCUGUGUUUUAAGAAAACAUGUCAGAAGUUCCUUUAAAUCUGUAAAUCAAGUUUCUACCAAUCGAGUAUUACAGCUUCUUCAUAUGGACCUUUUUGGACCAACCAGAACUUAGAGUAUUGGUGGAAAGAAAUAUUGCCUAAUAAUCGUAGAUGAUUACUCUUGUUUCUCUUGGGUAUACUUUCUGGCGAGUAAGUCUGAAAUCUUCUCUUAUUUCUUAAAGUUUGCUAAGAAUGUUCAAAAUGAAAAGGGUUAUGCUAUUUCGAGCAUACAAAAUGACCAUAAAGGUGAGUUUGAAAAUCCGAACUUUGCGAAGUUUUGUGAUGAAUAUGGUUUUCAGCAUGUUUUCUCUUCUUCAAACACUCUAAAACAAAAUGAGGUUGUGGAAAGGAAAAACAGAUCCUUGCAGGAAAUGGCCAAAACUCUCUUAAUAGAUAGCAAUAUAUCCUCUUGAUUUUGGGCAGAAGCAGUCUCUACUAUUUGCUACAUUAUCAACAGAGUAUUCCUAAAGCAUAUUCUAGAGAAAACUCCUUAUAAAAUAUAUAAAGGAAAAAAGCCUAUUGUUUCCUACUUUCAUGUCUUUGACUAUAAAUGUUUUAUUCUGAAGAAUCCGAAUGAUCGUUUUGGAAAGUUCGAAGAAAAAUCAGACGAAGAAAUCUUCCUUGGCCAUUCUACAUCAAGCAAAGCAUAUAGAGUCUUUAACAAGAAAAAUCAUUCUAUGGAAGAAUCUAUGAACGUCAAGUUUCAGGAUUAUGUGCAUAAUCAACCAGAUUAGACUCAACUUGAAAAGUCUAAACUUGUUCUAGACUUAACAAAGUCUACUUCCCCCGAAGAGGUUCAAACUUCUGGAGUACAGCAACAAGUAGACUGAGAAGAUUCAACCAAAGCAGAGGAUUAACAGACUUUCAAACCAAAUAGCAACCGGAAGCACAAGUCAAGUCAUCCCAAAGAACUCAUCAUUGACAACAUUGAUGAAGGAAUUCGUACUAGAUCUAAAGGGAGAGAAGAGUCCAGUGCUCUAACACUUGUUUCUGAAAUAGAACCAAAAAGAGUAGACGAAGCCCUGUCUAAUGAAAGCUGGAUAGAAGCUAUGUAGGAAGAACUCAAAUAAUUUAGCACCAACGAUGUAUGGGAGCUAAUUCCAAAACCCAAAGGCAAAUAUGAGAUUGGAACGACAUGGGUUUUCAGGAACAAGAUGAUUGAGAAAGGAAAAGUGAUUAGAAACAAAACAAGACUCGUGGCAAAAGGACAUACACAAGAGGAAGAGAUAGACUAUGAUGAGUCCUAUGCACCAGUAGCAAGGUUAGAAGCAAUUAGAUUAUUACUUGUUUUUGCAUGUUAUAAAAAUUUCAGGUUAUUCCAUAUGGAUGUUCAAAAGUGCAUUCCUCAAUGGGUUCAUACAAAAAGAAGUCUAUGUUAAACAACCACUAGGAUUUGAAGAUCCAAAAAAGCUAGACUCAGUCUACAGAAUGAAAAAGGCCAUGUAUGGACUGAAGCAAACACCUCGAGCCUGGUAUGAAAGGUUGAGUAAGUUUUUAAUUCAAAAUGGUUUUGAAAAAGGAAAAGUUGAUACUAUUUUGUUUAUAAAGAUAGAAGGAAAAUGUUUUCUACCGGUACAAAUUUAUGUAGAUGAUAUUAUAUUUGGUUCUUCUAAUGAAAGUCUCUGUAAGAAAUUUUCAAGGUCUAUACAGGAUGAAUUCGAAAUGAGCAUGAUGGGUGAGUUAACCUUAUUUCUAGGAUUGCAAGUCAAACAAUCGAAGAAAGGUAUAUUCAUUCACCAAGAGAAAUAUGCCAAAAAUCUCAUCAAGAAAUAUGGAUUGGAGAAUUGCAAGAAAAUAGAGACACCUUCUUCAAAACUAGACAAUGAUGAAGAAGGGAAGAAAGUAUAUCAGAAGCUAUACAGAAGCAUGAUCGGUUAUCCUCUCUACCUUACUGCUUUUAGACAUGAUAUUCUAUUCAAUCUGUGCAUCUGUGCAAGAUUUCAGUUUGAUCCAAGGGAAUCUCAUCUAGCUACUGUAAAAUACAUCAUUAAAUAUGUUGCGACUUGUCCAAAGCUAGGUUUAUGAUAUCCAAAAGAAUGAGACUUUACUCUACUUAAAUAUUAUGAUGUUGAUUUAGCCAGUAGUAAAAUCGAUAGAAAGAGCGCAUCUGGUACAUGUCAACUGUUGGGAAAUAUGCUAGUAUCUUGGUUCUCAAUGAAGCAAAGUACUAUAGCAUUAUCAACAGCAAGAGCAGAGUAUGUUGCUCUUGAGAGUUGUUGUUCUCAAAUUUUAUGGAUAAGACAACAACUAAGAGACUUUAGAAUAGAAGAAUCCUCCACCGAGAUUAGAUGCAACAACACAAGUGCUAUUAAUCUCACUAGGAACACAAUUAUUCAUUCAAGGGCGAAGCAUAUAAAGAUUCGACAUCAUUUUAUAAGGAAUCAUGUUCAGAAUGGCGAGAUUCUAGUUCAAUUCAUUGAGUCAAAGAAUCAAUUGGCAGAUAUUUUCACGAAGCCUUUGGAGAAAAACCUAUUUGAGUCUAUUCGUAGUAAGCUGAAUAGUAUCUCUCCUAUCAAUUAAAGUCUGAAGUUGGUCAGACUCAGAACUUAAAGAAGCUACUGCAGUUGAGAAUCUCUCAAAUCUAGGUAUUUUAUUUUUAGUAUGAAAAUGUAUGAUGAACUGAAUUGUCACUUGCCUGUUUUAAUUUCAGAAAUUAGUAUUUUAUUAAUAAUUUUUGGAUUUUGAAUUUUAGCAGUUACCUUUUAAAAUCUUGUUUUGAAAAGGCAUUUUUUUGUGACGUUUCGAAUACCCCCUUUUGUUGUGACGUUUCAUUUUCCUUAAAAACCUUUCAGUAUUUCUUUCAAGCACAUCCUUUCAAAACCCUAGAAUACCGAUUCUCUCUCACUCUCAUUUUUACUCUCAAAUCCCUUAUGCAAGUUUCCACCUUUUUCACUCGAACAUGUCUUUGAAAUCUUCCAAGUCUGCAUCCAUGUCGUACCAAAGGAAAUCCUCUCGGAUCGCUAGUCAAGGUCCUCGAAGCAUGCUAGAAGGACUAGUGCAUUUCGAUCUCAUUGAAGAAGGCUCUCCAUAGAAAUCUCUACAGAACUCUUCGAAGAACUCUCCACGGAACCCUCCGCACCAAUCGUUGGAAGAGGAAGUUGAACAAGACGCAGUUCCUCUCUGAACUUUGACACCCCAGGUUCUUUAUAAGCAUUAUGGUUAUUUGAAACAGGGCGGUACUCCAAUGGCCUUUAUCAUUGAUUUUCUGAAAAGCCAUGGACAUGGGAAUGAAACUGUUUUCUUAAAAACCACGGAAAGGAUAGGAGUGGCACCAAAGGGUUUGGUAGAGAAAAGCUUUUCUAGAUUUUCAUUAUGAUCCUAGAUUUAGUUUUGAGAAUUAGCCUGAAACUAAGGAUGAUGAUGAGCACAUGUUUUCGAAUUUUCAACCCAGGAUGGGUGUAACUGCUGAUGUGCCUGGUGAAAGAACGAAGAUGUUUCGUUCUAAGGAGCAUAAAAAGGUUUAUGCCCAGAUGCUGACCCCAGGGGUGAUAAACCCUCGAACAGUUGAUUUUGACUUUUUGGACUCAAUUAAGGUUAACUUGAGGGAAAAGUUGGCAUUUCUUCAACUUGAGAAAUUCUAUGCUAAGAUGGUUGUGGCGUAUCCAAAAUUGACAGCAUACAUCUACUUGAAUCUAUCUUUCCUUGACCAAAAUCGCAUUCACUUUACUUUUUGUGAUAAAGCUUUUGUUGUAGAUGUUGACAUUUUGGCUGAUAUUCUAGGAGUGGAAAGAUAUGGUUUUCAACCAAUCAACGCCUCCAUUGGUCAAGCCACUAGAUUCCUAGUAAAAAAUAGACUUCCAAGUGGAGGUAUUACUUACUCUUGACUGCCAACAUCGAGCGUUCUGUUCCACAAAAUUGUUAUCAACUGCAUCAGACUCAAGGCUGCCUCAAAGACUGAUGUCUCAAGAUUUGAGGCACGAAUCAUGUGGGCAAUAUGCAAUGGGAUGCAUUUCUCACUUCCUCAUACUAUCAUGCUGCACAUGUACAGGACUAUUAUGAAAGAUAAAGGCCAAUUGCCCUACUCUGCCUUGGUUACAAAGCUAUUCCGCAUUUUCAGAUCCAGUUUCCUACUUCUCUUUGUUCCAGAACUAUUGCUCCUAUGGAAAUAGGAAUGAAGAUGAUUUCGAAAAUGAGGCUGAAGGAUUGACUAAGGCUAUUGAGCUUUUAAAAAAGGAUUCCUCGAGCAAAACUAAGGAAAAUCAUGCUAUUGCAAGAAAGCACAAAGGUAAGGAAGUUGUGCAAGAACCUGUAAAGAAAAUGAGAUCACUUAUCCUGCAAAAUGAAGAGGAUGAAGAUGAUUUGACCAUUUCUACCAUUGCUCUAAGGAAUUUUCAAGGUGGUUUUGAGAAAUCAAAGGAAAGAGGAGGAAGAAACAAAGAAGAGGAAGAAGAGGAAGGAAGAGCAGAGCAAGAAGAAGCAUUAGAAAAAGAAAAAGAAGAAGCAAGAGCUGAUAAUGAAAAAGAAGAAGAAGGUGCUUCUGCAAAGAAGGGUGACUCUAAUGAAGAAACUAUUGCAAUAACACUAUCAGAGGAUUCUAAAGCAACUAGGGAUGACCCUACAAAAGUACGAACUGAGAAAGAACAUCAUUCUCAUUUUGGAAUAAAAAAGGCACAAGAAGAAGGAGUUUCUUCUCCACCCGUAGGGACAGAAACAUGGGGAGUUCAUGAGAAAACAGAGACUUCUUCUCCACAUAUUGCGAGUGAUGGUAUAAGCAAAUCUCCUGCAGACCCCAAGGAUGUUUUUGCAUCACAAUUUCCUGAAGUUGAGGCUGAAGAGUCCACUCCAAAUCAGGGAGAAAGACAAACUACUCUCGAUCAAGUUGAUGUUCCCUCAUCUCUCAAUUCUCCAAGAAUUCAAUUCGCUGAAGCUAGUGCUCAAACUGAACCAAAUGCAGACUAUCCAAUGUUGGUAGAGCUCCUUUUGAAGGUUAAAGCUCAGCAAUAUGCGAUGGAGAUUGAGAUCCAGAAGCUUCACACUGCCUUGAGAUCUACUUCAAAUUUUCUCACUGGCAAGGUAUAAUCUCUAGACAUUCAAGUUCAGACUUAAAAUUAGCAGGUUUCACAAACUGUUGCCAAGGUUGAGGAUGUUCAGAAGCUGAAGGAGACAGUACAGAAGCUGGAGGAGACAGUGCAGUCCAUGGGGAAUUUCCAACUCGUUUGAGUACCUAGACAAACCUGAUUCCAUUUACCCUUUUAAUUCAUUUUGAACUUUCUCUUUCUUUUUGCUGUUAACGAAAAGGGGGAGAAUGAGUGCAGAUUUAAACUUUGAACUAUUUGCAGAUUCGAUUUGUUUGGACUUGUUUGGAUUGAACUUGUCUGUUUAUUCUGCAGUAACCUUUUGUGGUUGUGAUUGUUAUUAUGGAUAUAUGCAUUGAAUCUUGUUUAAAUUUUCAAGAUUAACAAGUUUUCUAUGGUUGCAGAAUCGAUGUUAUCCAGAUUCUUAACAAUCUGUUUUUAUAAGUUAUCAUGUACUGCUGAAGUAUUAUUUUGCUGGAUAUAAGACUUUAAAUCUGCAGGAAAGUUUUGUCACCAUAAAAAAUGGGGAUAUUGUUAAAGAAAACUCCUAUAAUGUUUUGAAGUUGACAAAACUUAUCUAAGUUCUAUUCUGAAGAUUGCCAAACUUUUGUGUCAAAGUCUAUUCUACAAUAGAAGUCUGCCCACUCUGACAAAUUCCAAACUAAACGUGAGUGAAGAAUGAAGACUUAUCCAGAAGUGGGAUUAUCUUUCUUUCUUCAAGAGUUCAGUUCGUAUGGGUUAUAUAUGGCAUUUUUGGUUGGAAAUAUCACCAAUGAGAUUGGUUAUCUUUAUUAGAAUCAAUUUAGAUACAUCAAAUCUUUUCAGAAAGCAAGUUAAUUUGGAAAUAAUCUACUUAUGGAAAUCAAGAUUUUGAUUGUAUGAGCGAACAAGAUUGACAUGCUUUCAUCACAAUCUUCAAACGGUUCGAGAUCUCCUUGAUUGAUUUUGUCCAACGGGUUAAUUGGAAGAAUUCUUUUGGAAACUACCAACGGUCGAGAAGGCAUGAAGGAGUAUUUAAGGAAGCCUCUCCAGUCAUUCAAUAGAGUUCGUGAAAGAAGAAUUCCAAAGUCUGAAGCUUACCAUUUACUUGUUAUUCCUUACUCUGUGCUUAAAAUUGUACUCAAAAGAGAGAGAGACUCAACGUGAGACUUCGUGAGAGCAGUACAGACUCUUCACUGUGAAGUCAAGAUUACAAGAUUGUAAAUUCUCUUUUAAUUCUUAGUGAAAUCCAGCCAGAAAGCCGACAGCGUGGGAUAGUGAAUGUAGGCUUGAUCUAAGCCGAACCACUAUAAAUUAUAUGUUCCUUUUAUCUUCCCUGAACUCCUUUAUUUUAUUUACUACGAUAUACUUAUGCAAUUGAAAAUAAAUGUUAAAGUCUUAUUCAUUUUGCAAAGUCUAUAGUCAAUCAGACUUAGGUUAAAAGUAAAGUUUUUCACUACAUUUCGAAAGAAUUUGUUUUCACACUUAUUCACCCCUCUCUAGGUGUUCUUACUAGCCAUUUCAUCUACAUCAGUUGUUAAUAUGAAUUCCAAUGAUCUAUGCAGGGUCCAACUUAUGCAACACACAUGAAAUCUUUAGCCCCUUGUACCAUCUUUACCUUGGCAUUGUUUUGAUUUGUCUAACUUCAUAGAUGGACAAGAGUGCACGAACUCUCGCUCGACAAUCAUGGAACUAACUUGUGAACUUAUGUAAGUUGGUCUAUGGAAAUCACAAUUAUUGCAGUUGUCCAAAACCUUGCAUCCUAUCUCUGGUCUCCAGUUUCUCAAGAUUGCUGAACUUUUUAUUUUUUUCAAAUUGAAAACCCCAUAAAGCCCCCACAAUAAUCUUUCUAGCAUCACAGGAAUUCAUGGAUGACAAUGCACUUGGACCAGAAAUAUGAUGCCGACGCAAUUAUGCUUCUUUCUAAUUAGUCAUAAUCACACCAAAGGGGGCCCUUCUUAUUGGCACUGUACCUGUUUUUGCUGGGACAUUUAUUCCAAAAGAUGCACAAAUUUUUUUGAGGGUCCAAAAAAAUAAAUGCCCGUCGCGACCCUCCCGAGGGUGAAUUACCUAAAGAAGACUAAUGGAUUACUAAGUCCAAAGACUUGGCACGGACCCUCCCAAGUCUUACCAAUCGCGACUUGAUGUUAAGAAAUUAAUCUUUUCAAACAUGCAAUUAUACUCAAUUUGGAGCCGCCACUAACCAAUUAGGGCUGGUUAGAAACCCAAGUAAAGUAUGGGAGAAUACUUUACUAUUGCGAACCAGAGAUUCAGUAGGUUCGGGGACAUGGUUACGCUAGAUUAGUCUAACGCACUUUCGGUACCUUUUAUUUUUAUUUUAAAAAUAUUUUGCAGGCAAUGUUGAUUAAUUUUAACUUAAGCUACUAACAUACAAAUGGUGCUCAUGCGGGUGCACAAUCAAUAAAAUAACAUUCAAUAAAAAAUGCUAAGAAAAAUGCAUGCCCUAAACAUGAUAUCUAAAUGACAUGACACCUAAUUUUUAUUAUUAUGCAAUCUUAAUCUAAAUUUAAUAUGCAUGAAUUUUACUUUAAUGAUAUAUGAAAUGCGAUUUAUAUGGCAUAAUUUGAACUAUCACCAUAUGUAUACAAUCUAAUUUAUAUAAUCCUAAAUAUGCAUGUGCUACGUGAUAUGGGAUGAAUGACAUGGUAUUUCUACAUGCAUGCUCUUUUAUGAUUUUCUUUUAUGAUGAUUCAUUUUUUAAUGCAUAUAUGCAACCUAUGCUAAAUAAUGAUGAUAUGAAAUGAGAUUAAUUAUGAAUUAACCUAUUAACUAAUCAAGGAAAUGAUCUUUAGUUUUUUUUUAAUGACAUAAUGUUUUUUUAUUGAAAAGAAGAUAACUUAAUGGUGCAAUGAUCAUCUUUUAGCAUUUUCUUUUUUAUUAAAAAAAUUAAACUAUAACUCAUAUGGCAUGCAUAACAUUUUUUUUUUUGUUCCUCUUUUGUUUUACUAAAUGAAAAUUGACUUAAUCUAAAAAUGUCGAGGUGUGUUGCUUUAAUAUGAAAUGUGCAUGGACCUAAAUACCUAAGUUCAGAUAUGACAAUAUUUUACUAAUAAACAAAUCCUAAUUAAACCUAUUGUGCAAAUUAAUUAAUAUGAACCUAAUAUUUUUUGGAUUCUUUUUAUUGAAAUUCGGAAUUAGUAAAAAAAAAACUAAUUAGACUAACUAAAGUGAAUGAUAUUCUAAUUUAUUUUAGGAAUCAAUUUAACUUAAACUAUAUCUUAUCUUAAAAGCUAUAUAAAAAAAAAUCAAGACAUGCCAACAUUAUUUAAAAUUAGCCUUAACAAAAAUCACCCAUCUAAAAGUAUGAUCUAAAAAUUAUAAUACUAUAAAUGCAAUUCUAAUUUACUAACCCUAAAAAUACAGUCCUAAUUUACGAAACCUAUAUGCUCUAAUGCAAUAUUUAGAUUUUUAUGUACUUUUUGAUUUUUUUGAUUUUUUUAAUCUUUCCAAACAAGUAGUUAUUUUAAAAGAAUGAAGAUAAGAAUUAAAAUAACUGAAAAAAUAAUCCGUUGUCUCACAGAUUAAAUUAACAAUUAUUUUAACUUUAUAAUGAUUUAACAAUUGAAAUGCUAUCAAAAUUCCUAAAAAGUUAAAGUAAUUAAAAAAAUGACUCGACGUCUUACGGGUCAAAUUAAUAAUUACCAUAAUUUGGGAUAAAACACCUGCAGUUAAUGCCUACGAGAUUUAUAAAAGAAAAGCACAUCUCAAUAUUCUAAAUUGAACAUUAAUAACAAAAUAAAUAAAAUAAGAUGAAAUCUAGUGAAAAGUAAGAAUAAAAAUUAAAAAUUAAACUACCUAAGGGAAGGUGAACAGUAGGAUCGAUGGGGUGACAACGUGCAGCGAAGGAUGGCCGGUUUCGGAGCGGGCGAGAGGGACAGCCGGCAUCGGAUCUCCGGCGAGGGCUGGGUGGCGGCAGCAGCAAGGGAGGCGCGGCGUCAGUGACCGGCGAGCAGCGGUUGGGUCGUGGGUCGCUGUGGUGAUGGUGAGCAGUGACGUCGGGGUGAGCUCACGGGUAGAGGCGCAGGCGAGCUGCAAAUCGCGGGUCACGGGCUGCAGGAGCGACGGUGGCAUCGGGCGAGUGGAAUGAUGGCAUCGUGGUGGGAUCGUGGGUCGCCGGAUGAGGCGGUGCUGGUGAGGUGAUCGGUGCGGCUCGGUGGCUUCGCGGUUGCGGGUGGAGGGCGGAGGUGCAGGUGCGGCGGAUCUAGGCGGAGGGUCUGAGCGGAUCGGGAAGCAGCGUCGCCGGCAGAGGAGCGGCGGUCGGCGACUCGGAGGUGGCUGGUGGCCCGGGCAGCAGGUGGUGUCCGGUGCUGUUAAUCGGAAGGUGGAGGCACCACAAUAGUCACGGUCGAGAGGAAGAAGAUAGCAGUGUUAUGCUCUUUUCCCCUUUUCCUGCUGCUGGGUCCCGCUGAUCCCCUCUCUCUCUCUCUCUCCCUCUCUCUCAAGUCUCCCUCACGUCAUCUCCCUCUCUGCCCCCUAUACACUUUCCCUUUUUAAAAAAAACGAAACCUCUCUUCCCUUUCCUCUCUUUUCACUUUUUCUCCUUUUUUUUUUUUUUUCGAUCCAGAGAAAGCCCCUCUGGUCACUCGGUUCUGAAGCCUCGCCUUUUAUAGUGAAAGCCCUCAAAGUUGUUUUUGCAGGCGAGAUAUUCACUCAACGACUCCAACAAUAAAAAGGCUCCAAAAUAAAAUAAAAACUGAAUUUUUUUGAAUUUUGAAAUGAAGAUAUAUUUUCAAUAAAAAAUUUCCAAAACCGAAUUUUUAUUUUAUUUAUUAUUUUCUAAAAUAUUAGGUGUCAAUAGUUACCCCUCUUUGAAGGGAAGCUUGUAGAGGUUUCUUUCAAAGAUAAAUGACACCUAAAUUUAGAUUAUGCAAAAUGAAUGCAAAAUGAAAAUGAAAUGCAUAUGCAAAUGUAUAUUGUAAUGAAUUUUUUAUUUAUUUUAGAAAUGGACUCAAAUAAAUGCAAGGUCAUGCAAUAGAGAAUGCCAUGUAAAUGUAAUGAUUUGGUCAAGAACAUAUAUUUCUAUGUGUUCAUGCUUAAUGAAAUGCAAAUGCAAAGAAGAACACGUAGCUGUCAUACUUAUCUGGAGAUUCAUAAAAGUAUUAUUAGGUGUGAAAUGAUUCCUAUGAGACCAGACCAACAUCUGGAAAUCUCUUCAAAUAAUUGAAAGGCUCAAAGUCUUUAGAGAUCUGAAACUCUCAUCAGAUCCCAAGCACUUGGAAAUCACAUCAGAUGUUUGAAAAGACAAAUACUUGGAAGUCACAUCAAGCAUUUAAAGAUUCAAAUAUCUGGAAUUCAUGCUGAACAUUUGAAAACAUUUACUAAACAUCUGGAAAUCACAUCAGGCGUUUAGAAGGACAAACACUUGGAAGUCACAUCAAGCAUUUAAGGGUUCAAAUAUCUGGAGUUCACAUUAAACAUUUGAAAAUAUUUUACUAAACAUCUGGAAAUCACAUCAGAUAUUUGAAAAGACAAACACUUGGAAAUCACAUCAAUCGUUUAUGGAUUCAAAUAUUUGGAACUCAAACUAGACAUUUGAAAAGAUUUUAUAAAUGGGUACUUGAAAUUCUCAUCAAGCACCAAGAUGACUGAACAAACUUAGGGCUUCAAAGACAAAUCCUUUGGUCUUUGAGGAAAAAUUCACUUCAUUUAAAAAAAAAAAAAAAUCAAUGAAGGUCCAUACAUGAUGGCUUUUUCAAACUUCCACCAGGAAAAAUUAUCAAGACAAUUUUCACUAAGCUGUGAAUCUCUUGAACAUGCUAAAUGAGACAUUUUUGGUGUGAAAAAUGUUUUUUUCACUCGCUCUCAUUUAGAAGGGGUUAUUUGUCCCGACCAUUGAUGUGGGAAUAUAUCACUCAAUCUUAUCAUCAUUUUGUCGACAAGAGUUUGAAUUUUCUUGCAAGCAGUACGACCUUACCAAUCUGAAAGGUCUUUGACAAGGAUUGUAGUGUGGAUUUGGUCAAUGGCUUAGCAAAAGGGACUAUUUGAGUCAAAGCAAUUGAAAGAACAAUUAUGUAAUCAUCUUCAGGUUUACAAGUCAAGAACCCUGCAAAAUGAGAAAGAAAUAAUCUUGCUUGCACUUCUUCGAGCAAUGCUUAAAACAUGUGAACUCCCAUGUUAAUUCAAGUGCCAUAAUCUAAGAGACUUUGUAAGGGACGUAACAUAGGCUGGGUUUAUAGGUUGAGAAACGAAAGGAUCGUUAGGCUCAAAGAUGUGUAUAGGGGUCAAAGUUGGUGAUCAUCUUGACAUUACCACCAAUUUUCUUCGCCACGGAUUGUCUUCUUGAUAGAUUUCUUUAUUGGCUCAAGAGUUUAUCACUGAUGCCAAUGAUUAUUCAACUGGAGAUCUUUUCUCAACAUUUUUUCUUUUAAAAUCAUUUUCUUUGAUGAUGGGCAUCAAUCAGGCACACCGCUUUUUUAUAUGCCCCCCAAUUCAUCAGUCAUUUCUCUCUUCUUUUCAUGGGCAUUAGCCUUGCUUUUACCAGGCACACUGCUUUUUCAUACCCCUUAGUUCUAUUUUGAUUUCAAUUCUUGCGCACAGUGCGUGUGUCAAGUAUACUUUAAAUGACACUCGAACCUUCAAGGGUCUUCAUCUGUCUCUUGCCUUGCCCCAGUGUGGGGGAUGAUCACCAACUGGGUUUAAAGAAAUGAAAUUGCAAGCUCAAGUGGGCUAUGCAAAGGAUAUAAGUGUGUAGGAUAGUGAAAGAAACGCUCUUCGUCAUCCUAAGGUACUUAAAUUACUACAUGAAUUCAAUGUAAUAGCACGACUUGAAGAUUGAUACAAGUGAGAGUAAGAAAAUUUCCAUCCAUUUCACUCUCCUUCAAUGUCAACUUACCUCUAUUUGCCCCGACGUGGGGUGGUUCUUGACAGGGGUAGAAGUUCUUCAAGUAUUUAGGCUCAAAGAAGGGUUAAACAAGGGUUCACUGUAGAGAAAUGAACUGCCCCUCGUCAUUUUAGUUGUCGUACUUCAUGCAAGAAAACUCUUCAUCUUGAAACACAAAAUGUUUCCAUACUCACCUCACAAUGUAUAGACAGGGGACUGUGUAUGGGAUUAGGCUUGCCUUUCACACCUCAUUUAGCAUGCUCAAGUAACUCGACAUCUUUCACUGAAUUAUCUAUUUUGAUAAAUUUUAAGUGGAAUUGACGAAUUGCACAUCAUGUGAAAACAUUUUGAAAUGAUAAAAAUGCCAUGCUCUAUUCUUGCACAUCAAAAGAAAAAGUCAAAGAUGUUAAAUGUCUGUGUCUUGCUCCUCUUUGCAAGGAAGCUCAUAGAGGUUCCUUAAAUGUGUGCAGGGCUACACCUGAAACAUAAAGCAGAUAAUUAAAUGAAACAAACAGGGUAAAUUAGAUGCAUGCUGGAAAAUUAUUUUAUUUUGAAAAAAAUUUCAAGGGAACAUGAAGAAGCACAGCCUUCAGAAUUAGCUCCUUGCUGUUUUCUUUUGGGUAGGAUUUCAUCACAGGAUUAGUUUGGUGUACUUCAACACACCCUUAAAACACGAAAAUCUCCAUGUAUUUUAUUGGAUGAAAAGCAAAUUACAUUAUUGAAAUAAGGGAAAUCCUAGAAUUGAAAAUGCAAAUAUGCAAAUAUGGAAAGCAAUAAAGACUCCUGCGCAGAGGAGUGUGCAAAUAAUUAAAACUUUCCUACUCUCGAGCUUUGUCGAUGGCAAACACUAAAUUCUCUUCAAACAGUUCAGUCAUUCCUUCGAAUGCGUCAUCAAAGCUCUCAAUCUUUGGAGGUGCGGGAUCAUCUAUGCCACCCCAUCCAUCUGGGAUGAUAUCUCGUGGGUCGAAAAUAUGAGCUGAGAGGAGCCGAAUACUUUACAUAGUAAUCGAAUUUGCCACUUGGUUGCCCCAGGGUGUCCAUCACUUCUGCUUCCUCAUGCAUCAUCUGAAACAUGUUGGGCUCAGCAUCAAAACUGAAAAUGGCAUUCACAGCUUCUGGGUGGUCAGGGAGUGGGUUAUUCUAGAUGUUCGGCCGUGCAUCGCGGAAUGAGACCACCUUGGCAUCCAAAAGAUUUUGGAUUUUGUGUUGCAACGUAUAACAAUCAUCAACAGAAUGCCCUACCUCUCCCAUAUGAUAAGCACAUGUCUUGGACGGAUCAUAGUUGGGGAAUCGCUCGGGAUUAGGUCGCUUAGGCUCUUUAGCGAGUAAUCCUUUCUUCUGAAGGGUUGGCAAGAUCUUGGACAAUGGCUUAGGAAGAGGCAUAAAUUGACACAUGGAAGAGUUCUUCUGCUGGCUAAAGAACGGUUGUGCUCCUCCUUGUUAGGUGUUUGGGGUAGGGCGAGGUGGUUGAACAUAAGUUGCAUUAACCUCCACUACAGGUUCCUUAUCCUUCUUGGUUGAGAUUCUCCCAUACAAGCUGGUUCGAUUAGACGCCCAUCCAUCACGCAAUGCUACUUCAAUUCGCUCACCGACAGGGAUUAGUUGUUUGAACGACUUGGCAGUCGAUCCCAGCAUCCGAUUUCGAUAUUCAGGCGGGAGUGUCUUCAUGAACAAAUCCAUUAGCUCCUUUUCUAUCGGCUCCGGAGUAAUUUGAGCAGCUACGGUCCUCCAUCUCGUGACGUAUGCCUUGAAAGAUUCCGUCAUCUUCUUCUCAGUGCGAAGUAAAUCUUCUCGAGAUGGAGUAACAUCAAUAUUAUACUUAUAUUGCUUGAAGAAGGCAUCGGUCAAAUCCUCCUAAGUCUCCAGCAGAUUAAUCUUCUUCAUAAUGUACCAUUGAAGCGCCGGUCCUGUCAGGCUUGCUUGAAAUUGUUGAAUCAUCAAGGGGAUGUUAUCAACAUAUUGGGUCAUUCUGACCACAUACGUCUGCAAAUGGAUCUUCGGGCAAGAGGUGCCAUAAUACUUUUCAAAGUCUGGCAUUUUGAACUUCUUUGGCAUCUUGAUCUUUGCAUAAUGAGACAAAUCAGUUGGGUCUUGGGUAAAUGAACCCUGUAGCUGUUUAAGUUUCUCCUCAAUUUUUAUCAAGCGUUUUUCCUGCUCAGUUUUUGGUACAGCCGAAUGUAUCACUUGUACCUCAUCAUCAACAACAAUUUGAGGUGCGUCAGUAAUUUUAACCCUAGAGGGAUCCUCAGAUGUAGAUGGCCCAACUGUGGAUGUAUUCUUACCUUUAUCUCUUGGAUCAACCGUAUUCUUGCCUUUAUCUCUUGGAUCAACCAUGGGAGCAUGUUGUGGUAACACCACUUCAACUUGCGAAGCUGGUGGAGUAGUGUUUGCUUGGAGAGAAUCGAUUUGCUUAGAGAGCUGCUCAAGAACAUUCAGAACUUGCUUCAUCUCCGAUUCGAGGGCAGCGAUGCGAGUUUGUUCAGCAACACGUGUUUGUUCGGUGUUAUCAGCCAUUGUUGCUCUGGAACGAGUACGGAUUGGUGAUCUUAGAUGAGCCGUGUUGUUACCUAAGGGAGAAAAGAGAUAAUGUAAGAAACGAUGACAAGAUAGGAAAAUGGCCCAUGACAAUGGUCUAAUCGCCUCAUUUUAUUUGAAAUUUGAAUAAAAUUUUCUAACUAAGAAUUGAAAUUCAAGUCCCUAACAUUGAACUAAAAAUUGAAAGCACUGAAUUGAAAUCAAGGUCUCUAAACAUUGAACCAAAACAUCUUAUUUUAUAUGCUUUUGGGAGUGGAAAUGAAUUGUAAAUCGGUUUUCCCCAUCGCAUAUAAAACAAGACGGACAACGAAACCUAAUGUCAUGGACCAACGAAAUUGCAAGUAAGUAAAUUGCAGUAGCGAGAAUUUAAACAACUUACUUUCACUGGUAAUGGAUGACAAUCACAUAGACACACGCAUGAGAUGUGAGGCUCGAUUUUUAUCUAGAUGGCUUAACAAAAUGGAGCUAAGAGGAUGAUCUGACCGUUGCAGUCUCGCAUUAACGUGUCAGGUCCUCCUAACCUCGGCUCAGUCGAAUGGAAUGCCUAAUAAUCACGCAGUCUCACGGAUAUGGACAAACACAUUCGACACAAUGAAGAACUUUCGGGGAAGAGAAUGUCAACCUCUAUAUAGCAAUCUCGCUUUAGAGGAAGUAUCAUUCUCAACACCAUCCUAAGAAUCCUAUCGCAGCAGGUUGUGUGUGCAAUAGUGUAGUGCUAAAAACAAUAAAACAUGAAUAACAGUUUAAUUGCAAACAACACUUCUAUAGUUCAACCAUUCAUCCUUAACUCCAACCUGCAAAACAAGGGUUAGCAAAAACUACUCCCCUUAUACCUUCCAUCUGCAAAAACAUUAACACUUUAUAUUAGGAGCGUACCUUGUUUCCAUGCUGCCAAAAGAAACAAGCCUAUAUCCACUAUGUGUUUUUACUCUGUUCCCCAGCAGAGUCGCCAAGCUGUCGCGACCCUCCCGAGGGUGAAUUACCUAAAGAAGGCUAAUGGAUUACUAAGUCCAAAGACUUGGCACGGACCCUCUCAAGUCCUACCAAUCGCGACUUAAUGUUAAGAAAUUAAUCUAUUCAAACAUGCAAUUAUACUCAAUUUGGAGCCGCCACUAACCAAUUAGGGCUAGUUAGAAACCCAAGUAAAGUAUGGGAGAAUAUUGUGAACCAGAGAUUCAGUAGGUCCAGGGACAUGGUUACGCUAGAUUAGUCUAACGCUCUUUCGGUACCUUUUUAUUUUAAUUUUAAAAAUAUUUUGCAGGCAAAGUUGAUUAAUUUUAAUUUAAGCUACUAACAUGCAAAUGAUGGUUAUGCGGGUGCACAAUCAAUAAAAUAACAUUCAAUAAAAAAAUGCUAAGAAAAAUGCAUGCCCUAAACAUGAUAUCUAAACGACAUGACACCUAAUUUUUAUUAUUAUGCAAUCUUAAUCUAAAUUUAAUAUGCAUGAAUUUUACUUUAAUGAUAUAUGAAAUGCGAUUUAUAUGGCAUAAUUUUAACUAUCACCAUAUGUAUGCAAUCUAAUUUAUAUAAUCCUAAAUAUGCAUAUACUACGUGAUAUGGGAUGAAUGACAUGGUAUUUCUACAUGCAUGCUCUUUUAUGAUUUUUUUUUUUUAUGAUGAUUCAUUUUUUAAUGCAUAUAUGCAACCUAUGCUAAAUAAUGAUGAUAUGAAAUGAGAUUAAUUAUGAAUUAACCUAUUAACUAACCAAGGAAAUGAUCUUUAGUUUUUUUUUUUAAUGACAUAAUGUUUUUUUAUUGAAAAGAAGAUAACUUAAUGGUGCAAUGAUCAUCUUUUAGCAUUUUCUUUUUUAUUAAAAAAAUUAAACUAUAACUCAUAUGGCAUGCAUAACAUUUUUUUUUUUUUUUGUUCCUCUUUUGUUUUACUAAAUGAAAAUUGACUUAAUCUAAAAAUGUCGAGGUGUGUUGCUUUAAUAUGAAAUGUGCAUGGACCUAAAUACCUAAGUUCAGAUAUGACAAUAUUUUACUAAUAAACAAAUCCUAAUUAAACCUAUUAUGCAAAUUAAUUAAUAUGAACCUAAUAUUUUUUGGAUUCUUUUUAUUGAAAUUCGGAAUUAGUAAAAAAAACUAAUUAGACUAACUAAAGUGAAAGAUAUUCUAUUUUAUUUUAGGAAUCAAUUUAACUUAAACUAUAUCUUAUCUUAAAAGCUAUAUAAAACAAGACAUGCCAACAUUAUUUAAAAUUAGCCCUAACAAAAAUCACCCAUCUAAAAGUAUGAUCUAAAAAUUAUAAUACUAUAAAUGCAAUUCUAAUUUACUAACCCUAAAAAUACAGUCCUAAUUUACUAAACCUAAAUGCUCUAAUGCAAUAUUUAGAUUUUUAUGUACUUUUUGAUUUUUUUUAUUUUUUUAAUCUUUCCAAACAAGUAGUUAUUUUAAAAGAAUGAAGAUAAGAAUUAAAAUAACCGAAAAAAUAAUCCGUUGUCUCACGGAUUAAAUUAACAAUUAUUUUAACUUUAUAAUGAUUUAACAAUUGAAAUGCUAUCAAAAUUCCUAAAAAAUUAAAGUAAUUAAAAAAUUGACCCGAUGUCUUACGGGUCAAAUUAAUAAUUACCAUAAUUUGGGAUAAAACACCUGCAGUUAAUGCCUACGAGAUUUAUAAAAGAAAAUCACAUCUUAAUAUUCUAAAUUGAACAUUAAUAACAAAAUAAAUAAAAUAAGAUAAAAGUUAGUGAAAAGUAAGAAUAAAAAUUAAAAAUUAAACUACCCAAGGGAAGGUGAACAGUAGGAUCGAUGGGGUGACAACGUGCGGCGAAGGAUGGCCGGUUUCGGAGCGGGCGAGAGGGACAGCCGGCAUCGGAUCUCCGGCGAGGGCUGGGCGGCGGCAGCAGCAAGGGAGGCGCGGCGUCAGUGACCGGCCAGCAGCGGCUGGGUCGUGGGUCGCUGCGGUGAUGGUGAGCAAUGACGUCGGGGCAAGCUCACGGGCAGAGGCGCAGGCGAGCUGCAAAUCGCGGGUCACGGGCUGCAGGAGCGACGGUGGCAUUGGGCAAGUGGAAUGAUGGCGUCGUGGUGGGAUCGUGGGUCGUCGGACGAGGCGGUGCUGGUGAGGUGACCGGUGCGGCUCGGUGGCUUCGCGGCUGCAGGUGGAGGGCGGAGGUGCAGGUGCGGCGGAUCUGGGCGGAGGGUCUGAGCGGAUCGGGAAGCAGCGUCGCCGGCAGAGGAGCGGCGGUCGGCGACUCGGAGGUGGCUGGUGGCCCGGGCAGAAGGCGGUGUCCGGUGCUGUUAAUCGGAAGGUGGAGGCGCCACAAUAGUCACGGUCGAGAGGAAGAAGAUGAGCAGUGUUCUGCUCUUUUCACCUUUUCCUGCUGCUGGGUCCCGCUGAUCCCCUCUCUCUCUCUCAAGUCUCCCUCACGUCACCUCCCUCUCUGCCCCCUGUACAAUUUCCCUUUUAAAAAAAAACGAAACCUCUCUUCCCUUUCCUCUCUUUUCACUUUUUCUCAUUUUCUCUUCUUUUUUUUCGAUCCAGAGAAAGCUCCUCUGAUCACUCGGUUCUGAAGCCUCGCCUUUUAUAGUGAAAGCCCUCAAAGUUGUUUUUGCAAGCAAGAUAUUCACUCAACGACUCCAACAAUAAAAAUGCUCCAAAAUCAAAUAAAAACUGAAUUUUUUUGAAUUUUAAAAUGAAGAUAUAUUUUCAAUAAAAAAUUUCCAAAACCGAAAUUUUAUUUUAUUUAUUAUUUUCUAAAAUAUUAGGUGUCAACAGACCAAAAUUUACUUCGAAAAGAAAAUAUUCAUAAGGAUCUUAUAAAUUCAUUUCUAUGUUUCUGACCAUAUACUAGACCGGCAAUAGGAAUAAGAAAUGUGCCUCAAGAAUGAUGGUUUAUUAACCGAGUAACGUACAAUUAGCAUCAUAGAUGACAAGACUUUGUUAAAAGUUGAGUAGGGGCCAAAACCCAGCAAACAAUUAGGCAACUUGGCAUGGGCGGUGAAGAAAACAGUUGGAGGAAAAGAAAGAGAAGCUGCGAUGACUCCAAUAAUUAGUGGGGAGUUCGGAUGAUGGAGAUGGAAAAGGCAUAAACCAGAGAAGGGUGAUCAGAGAGGCAAAUGGUGAAGCCACAUCGUUACACCUUCACCUUCUCUUUUUGACAAUUUCCCUUUUUUGUCCUGUGCAAUGCUCGAUCUAAAGGGACCGAUAAAUUAAGUCAGUAUAUUAAGUUGUAUGACGAAUCAUACAUUGCCUUUUAUACAAUAUGGUCAUAUUUGACAUUCAAAUAACACUCUAUUUGGUCAUUCAGAAAAUCAAUAUAGUAAAUCAUUUUUUCCGCUGAGUCAAUUCUUUUUGUCGGUGUUUUAAACCUGAGUAUUCAGUACUGGACUAGCAGAGGAUGGGCCUUCGUGGAUGUCAAUUACGGUGGAAGCACUGGUUUGUCUCUAAAUAAGAACUCUUUACGCUUCAUAUCUUUUUGUCGAUUUCUGCGAAACCUGUUUUCCAGCUUGGGAUGGUGAUGAAGCACCAUUAUUAUCUCAACAGCCGUAUGCAUUAUUCUCGCCAAUUCCUCAUGGAGUUUUAUUGGCGUAAAUGGCUGCAAACAUUGCUAGCUUUGGCCCAUCAUUUGAUUGAUCUUCUUCAUUGCUACUGAAAAAUGGUACAAAAAUUUUUGUUCAAGGUUAUGGCAGAGAAUUCAGAGAACGGCUAUUGGGUUGCUGGGGUAUAGUUGAUGUUGAUGACUGUUGUAGUUGCGCUAAAUUUUUGGUAGGUGACUUUCAACUUGGUAGUUCUGUUAGUGCUCCUUGGGUAAUAGCGUGCUGGAACUAUUUCAGUAUGGUGAAGUUGCUUUAUCAUCGAGGUGGAAAGCGGAAAGGCGGAUGGCAAUCGCCUAUGCAUCACUGGAGGCUCUGCUGGUGGGUAUACAACCUUAGCUGCUCUAGCAUUUAGAGAAACUUUCAAAGCUAGGGCCUCCCCUUUAUGGUGUGAGUUCAUUUACUUUGUAUUCAGUUUCAGAAUAGUUGAAUUUACCAUUUUGCACCAAUAUCAAGAAACUGGCUUCUUUCUGUUGGAGAAAACUUCCUUAUCUAUUUUGAAGUUGACAAAAUAUUUUAUUUAGUCUAAUCUGAAGACUUCCAGACUCUAUCAUCAAAGUCUAAAGACCACCAGACACAAGACUUAAAGUCUGCCCUCAUUGACAGUUUCUAGACCGACGAAGAAGACUUAUCCAGAUGCGAGUAUGUCUUUAAGGAUUUGAUUUGUGCAUCUAAAGAAUCUCUCACGGCUAGGAUGGCAUCUCAAGAUCUAUUAUUCGUAUUGAAAUUGAUUUGAGUAACUAAGAUCUGUUGAUUGGUGAAGUAUACUUUGAAGGUUCUACAUAUGGAAACCUAGAUCUUGAUUGUAUAGGCGAGCAAGAUUGGUAGGUUAUCUUCAUAUUCCUUAAAUAACUCGAGAUAUCCCUAAUUGAUUCUGUCCAACGGGUAGAUUGAAAAAACUCCUUUGGAAGAUACCAACGGUUAUGAAAGCAUGGAGGAGUUUAUAAAAGAAGACGCUCUAGUUAUUCGAAGGUGUGCAAGAUAGAUAAAUUUCAAAGUCUGAAGCUCCUUGUACUUUGCUUAUUCAAUUGUUGAGCUUAUAUUCGUACUCAAAAGAGAGAUUAGAUACUGGUGAGACCUUGAGGAAGUGGAAUAGAAAUUCUACACUGUGGAAUCAAAGACGUGAGAUUGUAACACCUCUUUUGAUUCAUAGUGAAAUCUAACCAGUGGGCUAUCAGUGCAGGAGAGUUGACGUAGACUUAGUCUAAGCCGAACCACUAUAAACCUUGUGUUCUUAUUAUCUUCCCUAAACUCCUUUAUUUUGUUCGUAACUUUAUUUAAUUGCUAGAGUCUGAUUUCCUCUGCAAAGUCUUUUGUCAACUAGACUUAGGUUAAAUGUAAAUUUUUACACUAUAUUUUGCAAAAUUUAUUUUCACACCUAUUCACCCCCUCUCUAGGUGUUCGUACUAGCACUUUCAAUUGAUAUCAGAGCUUGUGUACUCAUUUAAUUGAAGUGUUUUUACUUAUGAGUUAAAGAUCCAUGGCUAGUAUGUUGGCUCUAGGUUUUGUUGAAUGACAAAGCAACACCAAACCGCUUUAUUUUGAUGGAAAAGAAUACAGUAUAUGGAAAAACAAAAUGAAAGCAUUUCUAAGGUCGAAAGAUCCUCUGGAAUGGGAUUUGGUUGAUAAAGGAAUCAUUCCUAAAGCUACAACAAUCUCAGAAAAGGAGAAAAGAAGUUGUAGAGGCUAGCGAGAUGACUCAAGAGGAGAUAACCAAGAGACAAGCUCUUGAUGUAAAAGCAAUUUACUCCUUCUAUUGUGCAUUAUCUCAUACUGAAUAUAACAUAAUAUCUUCUUGCGAAACAGCUAAAGAAGUCUAGGAUAGAUUGCAUAUUACCUAUGGAGGAACUGAUCGAGUGAAAGAAACCAAGAUCAAUAUGAAGUCUUCAAGAUGAAACUAGGAGAAUCUAUCACUGACAUGUUUAGUCGUUUUACAGAAAUCGUGAACGGUCUUGAGUAUCAAGGUCAACCAAUUUCAGAACCCAUGAAGCAAACUGCUGCGUGGACUUUCCAAAGAUUGGAAUCACGUAAAGAUCUCAAUAAGAGAAACACAAAGGAUCAUGCCACCCUUCGUUGAUGAAUUGGUCAGCACACUUCAGUCCUAUGAAGUGGAGCAAAUCAAUGAAGAAGAAGAUCCCAAAGGUAAAAAGUCUAUUGCCAUAAAAUCUAAUGAUGAUUCUAAUGUUAUAGAUUCUGAAGACGAUAUAAAUGAUGAAAAGCUUGCUCUCAUAAUAAGAAUAUUUAAAAAACUGAACAAAAAUUGAAGAAGAUUCAACUGGAAGAAACAAACCUCUCAAAAGUUUCAAAAUAAAUCAACUAAGGACGAUGAAUUCAAUAAAGAUGGGAUUUGUUUUGAAUGCAAGAAAAAUGGACACAUUAGACCUAACUGUCCCUUAUUGAAGAAAAAGAAAGGAAAAUCUGAGAAAUACAGAAAGACACUCAAAGCAAAAACUUGGAGUUAAACCAAAUGCGAAGAGAGUGAUGAUGAUUAUGCUAAUAUUUAUUUAAUGGCAAAAUCAGACUCAAACUCUAAGACGAAUACAAACUCAAACUCAGAUGGUGAAAUCAAGGUAAGUAAUUUAAAAAUUCCUACUAAAGUCUCAAAAUAUAUUAAUGAACUAUGUCUUAGUCUCAAAACCUCUCUCAGGAGGAUUUCCGAGCUAAAAAUGGAAAAUUCUACACUGAAGCAACAGGAAAUUGGUUGGAAAGGAAAGUUCGAAAAUUUAGAUAAAAGUUUUGUUACUUUAAAAGAAAAUACAAACUCUUUUUCAAAAGAAAAUACACUUUUGAAAAAUGAUAUUUCAAGUAUCUCAAAAAGGUUUUCUAUAGAAUAUGAGAAAUUGUAAAAGAUUCUUUCAGUGCAAAGACCUUACUUUAACAAAUCAAGCUUGGGAAUGACUUCUGAAACCAUUCAUUUAAUUGAUUUUCCAAAAGUAAAGGAAAGAAUCAAACAAAUACCUACAAAAGCCUUUUAUAGAAAUCAUUUUCAAAAAGUCUUUGUAAAACCUGUUGGCCGAAAUGCUCUUAAAUGUUCUAAAUGCAACAGCUCAGAACAUUUUGAGAAAGAAUGUCAUACGGUUUGGAGACCUGUUGUCGCAACCAAAUUUUCGAGUGAAACCACCUAAGGUUUGGCUAAUAGAUUGUUAAGCCUAAACUUAACUCAGGCUCUCCCAAGCCCAUACUAAUUCGCAACUUAGGUUCAAAUUCUUAACAUGCAAUUAAUUUUUAAUUAGGAGUCGUCACUAAUCUAUUUUUGGUGGGUCGAUUAGAAACCCAAGUAAAGUAACGGGAGAUUUACUUUACUCCUACGAACCAGAUAUUUGGGUACGAAGACUUGAUUACGCUAGAUUUCUCUAACACCCUUUCGGUACCAUUUCUUUUAUUUUGAAAAAAGGGUUUUGCAGGCAGCUUGAAUUGAUUUUAAAUCUAUUUCCCUAACAUGUGAGGCGAUCAUGCGGGUGCGCAAACCACCAAUUUAACACCCAAUAAAGCAAUUAAAUAAUGUAGAACUUACCUCAAAGCAACGAAAUUUCCCUAACAUGUGAGGCGAUCAUGCGGGUGCGCAAACCACCAAUUUAACACCCAAUAAAGCAAUUAAAUAAUGUAGAACUUACCUCAAAGCAACGAAAGCAUCUGCGUUGUUAAAUUAAAAUCCACAUCAACAACCCUAGAUAUGGUUUAUAAUUAACAAGCAAUCACUCAAUUUUCACUUUCACUUUUUAACGAGACUAUAAUCCAUAUGCAAUGCAAUGCUUUUAAUCUAAUAUGAAAUGAUAUGGCAUGGCAACAUGUUCUAAACUAUAUGAAUGGAUAAAUUUUUUUGUGAUUUCUUAACAAACAUGCAAUUAUUAAAUAUGCAAUCUAAAUUAACCAAAAUGACUUAAUUCUAAUGACAUGUGAUGUGAUGCAAUGCGAUGACGUACAAAAUUAUUUUAACUAAAAUGACAUGCAACAUACAAUUUAAUAUGCGAGCUAUAUGUCAUGCGACAUUUAUUAAAUGACCUAAUGUAAUUACGGGCAAUUUCCAAUUAAAUGAACCUAACAACAGUCAAUAAAUGACGUGCAUUUCAUGAACCUAAUUCUAUAUGACAUGGGCAUUUUUAUUUUCCUAACAAAAACGUGCAAUUUAUCUAGGAGAGAUUAUCUACCUAAUUGAUAAACAUGCAACCCUAACAUGCAAUGACAUGCAAAGAAUGCCCUAAUUCAACAUGAUAUAUGCAUGAUGAUUUUUUUUUUGUUUCUUUUUAUAAAAUUCGAAAUUUAAAAUUGCCAAAUAAUUAAACGUGCCAUUUAAAUUUAAAAAAAAAACUAACCUCCUAAAUGAACACAUUUUUUGGAUUUUUUUUAUUUAAAAAUUCAAAAUAAGAUUGCAAUUCUAAACAUGCAAGAUAACCCUAAGACUAAGAACAUUCUAAAACAAACUUAACCCUAAUUCCAAUUUUUCUUUCCUUUUAUGAAAAUAAAAUUGAUCCAAACACCACGACAUCAAAUCAAGCAAGACAAUGUUGAUAUCCAAAAAUUGGCAAACCAUAUCUCGCGCAUGAGAUCGGGUUGACCAAUUUUAAAAUUAAAUCGCGAAUCGAAUCUCGGGCUUGAGAUUGGAUUGUCGAUUUUUGCAAGGGAUUGCGAGUUGGAUUUCGGACACGAAAAUCAAACUGACAACCCCUAAUUUGAGGGGAACUUUCACGUUGGAAUAUCAAUCAUAUAUUUAGGAACAACUUCACUAAAAAAAACAAGCUAUAGAAGAAAAUAAAAACAAACAAACAAUAAAUAAAUAAAUAAAUAAGACUACCUAAUCCUCUUUUUCUCUUUUUUUUUUUUUUUUGCUUUUUCUUUUUCCCAAAAGUGGGCUUGCUCGUGCGGCGAGUCACCGGCUCCGAUGAAAGGUGGCGGAUCGGAGGUUUGGUAGGGGGAAACUCCGGCGAGGGUGGCAAUGGGCAGAGGCAGGUCCCAGGGCUUCGGCUCUGAGCAACAGGGCGUCGAGAUCAAGGCCAUUGGUCGCUGGUCCUCAGGGCAAUCAGGCUCGAACAGAGCAGCGUUGAGUCGGAAGGCUCAAGCAGCAGGGCGGUAGCGGUGUGCGGUAAAGCGGAGCAGCGAGCUCGCGAGUACCGAGGCGCGGCGGCGUCGAAUGAUGCAGAAGGUGCGGAUCGGGUGGCACUCCGAUGCGAUGGCGAGCGAGCAGGAGGUCGCGGGUCACAGUGGGCUGCAACAAAGGGCAAAUCGGCUCGGCGGUACGGCUGCUUUAGGGCUCUGGUGGCGUCGGGUCGCGAUUGGGGGCAGAGACACGGCAAGGUCGGCGCGAGGUUAACCGAAGUGCGAGACUGGGGACUCGCAGGUUACUAGUGUCUCGACGGUGUUGGUGCGACAUGGAGCUUCACGGGCGUCGGGGACGACGACCAGCAGGGCGUGAACAGCAGCGGCGAAGACUCGUCGAGGGAGGGGCAUAGCAGAGUGGCGGCGGUGUGGGCGCCGGAGUGGCUAGGUCGCAAGCGGAAAGGCAGGCGGAGUGGCUGCACGAAGAAGACAAUGAACAGUCCUCUCCUUUUAUUUCUCUCUCUCUCUCUCUCUCUCUCUCACCUGUCGCACGUCCUCUCACUAGUCUGCUCUUUCCCUCACUGCAAACCGGUUACUUUUCCUUUCUCUCUCCCUUUUCUCUCUUUCUUUUUCCUUUGACUUUCCUUCUUCCUUUUUCGAAAACCGAGAGAACCCCCUUUUCCGAAGCCUUGCACUCUCUAUUUAUAGAGAAAAAAAUCAGUUUGUUCUGCCCAUCGAGAUUUGCAUAUAUUGACCCAAUCGCUAAAGAUCAUCCUUCGAAAAGGGGAGAUGUGCUCAACAAGAAAAUAGCCUCAAAUUCUUUGUGAAGAUUUUUUAAGAUAAUUCACUCAACUUUUGAUAAGGCUCCAUCAUCCAAAAUCUUUCAACAUCUCCUUCCUCAACAAAAUAUUUUUUAACAACUUUUAAAAAAUAAGAUAAAUAUUAUUGUUACCCUAAUGUAAAUGAACAAAUAAAAAUAGUUAAAAUUUAUGUGUCAACACAUGUUAAGAAGGAUUGGACAAAGACCGUUUAUUGCACUAACUCUAUUGGACUCAAGAAAGUGUGGGUACCAAAGAAAGCUUGAGUUUCUUUUUUAAUUGCAGGUCACUAUCAAGAAAAAUGUCAAAUGGUACUUGGAUAGUGGAUGCUCAAAACAUAUGACAGGAGAUUCAACUUGUUUUAUAAAGCUCAUCCAAACGAAUGGAGGAAAAGUUUCUUUUGGUGGAAAUAGCAAAAUAAUAAUUGUCGGAUGCGGAACAGUAAAGAUUGGAAACUUUACGAUCAAUAAUGUCUCCUUGGUAGAAUGACUAAAUUACAAUCUACUCAGCAUAAGCCAACUGUGCUACAUAGGUUUCAAAAUCAAUUUUCAAGAAGGAAUAUGUUCGGGAACCAGUAAAGACUUCUCUCAGACUUUCACGGGGUGAAGACAUGGGAACAUCUAUUUUUUGGAUAUCAAACUAGAAAAAUCUCAAUGUCUAAUUUCAAUUCAAGAUAGGGGUGAUCGGUUCCCGAUUCGGUCCGGUUCCCGGUUCCACCUUGGAACCGGACCGAGAGAAUCGGUUCCCAAAAUUGGGAACCGUGGACCAAACCGUUUGGUCCUAAGAUCGAGAACCAGACCGAACCAUCAGUUCCGGUCCAACAGAAUAGGUGUUGGAGAAAUCUUCUUGAAGUGUUUUGAAGUUGACAAAACGUUUCCAUCAGUCUAAUCUGAAGGCUUGCAGACUCUGCUAUUUAAAGUCUGAAAACCUCUAGACAGCUAGACUCAAGACUCAAAGUCUAUCCUCAUUGACAAUUUCUAAUCUGUUGAAGAGAGGCUAUCCAGAACUGGAUGUUUCAUUAAGGAUGUGGUCUUAUCGACUGGAGAAGAUCUCUUGGCUGGAUAUGACAUAACGGAAUCCUUUGUUUGAUCAUAAUUGAUUCAAAGAUUAAGGAUCCGAUGAUUGGCAAAGUAUACUUGGAAGGUUCUACUUAUGGAAACCUAGAUCCUGAUUAUAUGGGCGAACAGGAUUGAUGGGCUAUCGACAUGUUCCUUUAAUAGCUCGAAUGAUCUUCUUAAUUGAUUCCGUCCAACGGGUAGAUUGGAGGAAUUCCUUUAGUAAGUGCCAACGGGUAUGAUGGCAUGAAGGAGUAUAUAAGGAAGACGUUCCAGUUGUUCGAGUGUGUGCACGAUAGAAGAAUUCCAAAGUCUGAAGCUCUUUGUUCUUAGUCAAUUCAUUUAUUGAGCAAAAUCGUGUAAACAAAAGAGAGUCUAUAUUCGUGAAAAACCUUGAGGAAGUGUGGUAGAUUAUCUACACUGUGGAAUCAAGGAAAAGCUGUGCUGUAACUUCUCUUUUGUUCAUAGUGAAAUCCAGCCGGUGGGCUGUCAGUGCGGAAGAGUGGACGUAGGCUUGGAAUAAGCCGAACCACUAUAAAUCUUGUGUUCAAUUCUCUCUUCCCUAACCUUUACUUUACUUUGAUCGUAUUUUCCUUUCUAUCGAUUGCCUAGAAUCGCUUCCGUAUCUCGAGAAAUUGUUUGUGCACCUAUUCACCCCCCUCUAGGUGCUUAUACUAGCUAUCUCAAUUGGUAUCAGAGCAUGUGUACUCACUUUGUUUGAAGUGUUUUACUUCAGAGUUAAAGAUCCAUGGCUAGUAUGUUGGCUCCAGGGCUGGUAGAAGGGCAAAGCAAUACCAGACAUCCUUACUUUGAUGGAAAGGAUUACAACAUAUGGAAAAACAAGAUGAAGGCGUUCCUAAGAUCAAAGGAUCCUCUGGAAUGGGACAUUGUAGAAAAAUGAAUCAUUCCUAAAGCUGCAUUUGUCUCAGAAAGAGGAAAAGAUGCUGUUGAAUCUAGCGAAAUGACUCAGGAAGAGAUAAUCAAGAGACAAGCUCUUGAUGCAAAAGCAAUUUAUUCCUUAUAUUGUGCUUUAUCUUCUACUGAAUAUAACAGAAUAUCUUCUUGUGUUACAGCUAAAGAAGUCUGGGAUAGAUUACAUAUUACCUAUGAAGGAACCGAUCGAGUGAAAGAGACUAGAAUCAACAUUCUCCUCGGUCAAUAUGAAGCCUUCAAAAUGAAAUCAGGAGAAUCUAUAACUGAUAUGUUUAGUCGUUUUACAGAAAUCGUGAAUGGUCUUGAAAAUCAAGGUCAACCAAUUUCUGAUCCCAUGAAGGUAAACAAGCUACUGCGUGGACUCUCCAAGGAUUGGAAUCACAUAAAUACCUCAAUCAGAGAGACCCAAACAAUCAUGCCACUAUUUGUUGAUGAGUUGGUUGGGACUCUUCAGUCUUAUGAAGUGGAACGAAUCAAUGAAGACGAAGACCCUAAAGGUAAGAAAUCCAUUGCAUUAAAAUCUAAUGAUGAUUCUGAUGUUACAAAUUCUGAAGACGAUAUGGAUGAUGAGGAACUUGCUCUCAUGAUAAAAAGAUUCAGAAAGCUGAACAGAAAAUGAAGAAGAUUCAAUCCAAAGAAACAAAGUUUUCAAAAGCAACAGACUAAGUCUGUUGAGGAUGAUGAAUCAAACAAAGAUGUAGUCUGCUUUGAAUGUAAGAAAAAAGGACACAUCAGAUCCAACUGUCCUCUUCUGAGGAAGAAGAAAGGAAAAACUGAAAAGUAUCGAAAGGCUCUUAAAGUUGAAACCUGGAGUGAUACAGAGUGUGAAGAAAGUGAUAAUGAUUAUGCUAAUAUAUGUCUGAUGGCACAAUCGGAUUCAGAUUCAAACUUCGAGACAGAUUCAGAUUCAAAAAGCGAAAUUGAGGUAAGUAACUUCAAAAUCCCUAUUAAAGUUUCAAAAUACAUUGAUGAAUUGUGUUUUAGUCUUAAGACCUCUCUUAAAAGAAUUUCCGAACUCAAGAAGGAAAAUUCUGCUCUAAAACAACAGGAAAAUAUUUUGAAAGAAAAAGUGAAAUGUUUAGACAAGAAUGUUUCUUCUCUUAAAGAAAGUGAAGAUAAUCUUUUAAAAGAAAAUGCAUUCUUGAAAAAUGAUAUCUCAAAUAUUUCCAAAAGAUUUUCUAUAGGAUAUGAGAAACUGGAAAAAAUUAUCUCUGUUCAAAGACCUUAUUUCAAUAAAUCUGGUUUGGGAAUGACUGCUGAAACCAUUCCUUUAAUUGAUUUUCCUAAAGUGAAGGAAAGAAUCAAACAAAGACCCACAAGAGAUGCUUACAAAAAUCAUUUUAAAAGGAUCUUUGUAAAACCAGUAGGUCGCAAUGCUCUCAGAUGCUCAAAGUGCAAUAGUACAGAUCAUUUUGAAAAAGAAUGUCCUAUGAUUUGGAAACAUGUUAAAAAGGUAUGGGCAAAAACCGCAUAUCAUACUUUCAAGAGGGAAAAAUCGUGGGAUUUGGAACUGUAAAGAUUGGAAAUCUCACAAUCAGCAAUGUUUCCUUAGUGGAAGGGCUUAAUUACAAUUUGCUCAGUAUUAGUCAGCUAUGUGAUACUGAUUUCAAAAUCAACUUUCAAGAGGGAAUAUGUUCAGGAAUUAGUAAAGAUUCUACUCAGUCAUUCAUGGGUCGAAGACAUGGAAAUAUCUACCUCUUGGAUGUGAAACCAGAUGAAUCACAAUGUCUAAUCUCAAUCCAAGACGAAGCAAACUUAUGGCACAGAAAGCUUGGGCACGUCAAUAUGAAGCAAAUAGCCAAAAUCUCAGCGAAGAAGCUUGUUCGUGGUCUACCCAAUUUAUCAUACCAAAAGUCUAAUCUAUGUACACCAUGUAUAUUGGGAAAAUAGGUAAGAAAUUCCUUUAAACCAAUAAAUCAAGUUUCCACUAACCGUGUACUGCAGCUUCUGCAUAUGGAUCUUUUUGGACCAACCAGAACACAAAGCAUUGGAGGUAAGAAAUACUGCUUAGUAAUUGUGGAUGAUUACUCACAAUUCACUUGGGUAUAUUUCUUGGUAUAUUUCUUGGCAAGUAAGUCUGAAACCUUCUCUUACUUUGAAAAGUUUGCUAAAAAGGUUCAAAAUGAAAAAUGGUAUGUUAUCUCGAGUAUAAAACAGAUCAUGAAGGUGAGUUUGAAAAUCAUGAUUUUACAAAAUUCUGUGAUGAAUCUGGUUUUCAGCAUGAAUUCUCCUCUCCAUAUACUCCAGAGCAAAAUGGAGUUGUGGAAAGAAAGAAUAGAUCACUUCAAGAAAUGGCUAAAACUAUUUUAAUUGAAAGUAACAUCUCUUCACGUUUUUGGGCUGAAGCAGUUUCUACAGCAUGUUACAUCAUAAAUAGAGUUUUUCUAAGGCCUAUUCUGGAAAAAACCCCCUAUGAACUAUUCAAAGAAAAGAAGCCUAUUGUUUCAUAUUUUCAUGUAUUUGGAUGCAAAUGUUUUAUACUGAAAAAUGCAAAUGAUCGAGUUGGUAAGUUUGAAGAAAAGUCAAAUGAAGGCAUCUUCCUUGGAUAUUCAACCACAAGCAAAGCGUACAGAAUCUACAACAAGAAGACUCAAACAGUGGAAGAAUCAAUGAAUGUUAAAUUCCAAGAUUCUAUGCAAAAUGAAUCCAUUCAAACUCAUCUUGAAGAAUCUGAACCUGCUCCAGACUCUACAAAGUCUAAAUCUCAGGAAAUAGCUCAGACUUUGAAGGACCAGCAACAAGUGACUAUUGAAGAUUCAAGUGAAGGAAGUGACCAUCAAUCUGACAAAUUAACCAGCAACUGGAAACAUAAGUCCAGUCAUCCAAAAGAUCUUAUUAUUGGCGACAUCAAUGAAGGAAUUCACACAAGAUCCAAAAGGCGCGAAGAGUCUAGUGCUGUGGCUCUUAUUUCUGAAAUAGAACCCAAAAGCAUAGAAGAAGCUUUAUCUGAUGAAAGCUGGAUUGAAGCUAUACAAGAAGAGCUCAGGCAAUUCAGUAUUAAUGAUGUCUGAGAAUUGACUCCUAAACCAAAAGGUAAAUCUAUUAUUGGAGCUAAAUGGGUUUUCAGGAACAAGAUGAACGAGAAAGGAAAAGUCAUAAGAAACAAGGCAAGACUCGUGGCCAAGGGAUACACACAAGAAGAAGGGAUAGACUAUGAUGAGACUUACGCACGAGUAGCAAGGUUAGAAGCAAUUCGAUUAUUACUUGCUUUUGCUUGUUAUAAGAAUUUCAGGUUAUUCCAAAUAGAUGUCAAAAGUGCCUUCCUAAAUGGAUUCAUCCAAGAGGAAGUCUAUGUGGAACAACCUCCUGGGUUUGAAGACCCAAGGAAACCUGACUCAGUAUUCAGACUCAAAAAGGCUUUAUAUGGCUUAAAACAAACACCUCGAGCUUGGUACGACAGACUGAGUAAGUUUUUAAUUGAAAAUGGAUUUGUUAAAGGUAAAGUAGACAAUACUCUUUUCAUUAAAAGAGAAAGCAAGAGUUUUCUACUUGUUCAAAUAUAUGUCGAUGAUAUUAUUUUUGGAUCCUCUAAUGAAAGUCUGUGCAAGAAAUUCUCUAAGACUAUGCAGGAUGAAUUUGAAAUGAGCAUGAUGGGUGAGUUAACCUUCUUUCUUGGACUUCAAGUGAAACAACUGAAGGAAGGAACUUUUAUUCAUCAAGAAAAAUAUGCUAAUGAUAUUGUGAAGAAGUUUGGACUGGACAAUUGCAAAAAGUCCGAUAUACCAAUGUCAAGUUCCUUGAAGAUAGAUAAAGAUGAAGGAGGAAAGAAAGUCGACCAAAAGUUAUACAGGAGUAUCAUCGAUUCACUUCUUUAUCUUACUGCUUCUAGACCUGACAUUUUGUUUAGUGUUUGCAUUUGUGCCAGAUUUCAAGCAGACCCUAAAGAAUCACAUUUAAAUGCUGCAAAGCGUAUUAUCAAAUAUAUUGCAUCAACUUCAAGCUUCGGUCUUUGGUAUCCUAAAAGGGGAGACUUUACUCUUCUCGGGUACUCAGACGCAAACUUAGCCGGAUGCAGAGUUGAUAGAAAGAGCACCUCAGGUACCUAUCAACUACUUGGAGGCAGGACAAUGUCUUGGUUUUCAAGGAAGCAAAGUACAGUAGCUCUCUCUACAGCAGAAGCAGAAUAUGUAGCUCUUGGAAGUUGUUGUUCAUAAAAUUCUGUGGAUAAAACAACAACUAAGAGACUUUGGAAUUGAAGAUUCAUGCACAGAGAUUAAAUGUGACAACACCAGCGCAAUCAAUCUCACCAAAAAUCCAAUUCUUCACUCAAGAGCAAAGCAUAUAGAGAUUCGACAUCACUUCAUUAGAGAUCAUGUUCAAAAUAGAGAAAUUACGAUCCAGUUUGUUGACUCAACGAACCAACUGGCGGAUAUAUUUACAAAGCCUUUGGAGAAAAAUCAAUUUGAAAUUAUCCGUUCCAGACUCAACAUUUUGAGGUUUGAAGAAGUUAAAGUCUAGAGACUCUCAGACUCAGACAAAUAAGACUUUGACUGCAAGACUUUGACUGUAAGUUAUUCUCUCUCUAAUCUCAUCUUGAAAAGGUACGUUCAUCAAUCGUGUUUGAUUAUUGUUAUCUCAACCGUUAUCUUUAAUUGACGAGAUUAUCGCAACGUUUCCUUUAGAAAAAAGAGUUAUUUUGAAAUGACCAUUUUUCGAAAAAGGCAGUUAUUUUUUUAAGGCAUCUUUUCACUUACCAUUACGACGAUUGGUAUCCCCUCCUUUCGACUGUCUUAUAUAUAGUCAGUUUCUCUUCGCUUAACUCCAAAACCCUAAAAAGCACCAAUCUUCCAUUCCUAUUUUCUUCUCUUGUUUAAUCUUCGAAAAAGUUGUCAUCUUUCUUGGGAAAGUCAAGCAAGGAAUCUUUCAAAGACUAAGAAAGAUGUCGUCUUCAAGAAAGUCUUCAAGGAUCGCAAGCAGGGGACCACGGCGAAUGAGUGAGGGGCCUACGCACUUCGAUCUCACUGAAGAAGAAGUGUCUCCAAAUCAGCAACAGAGCCCACAACAUUCUCGGCAGCGUCAUUCUCCUCCAUCUAGUCCUCAAGAUGUUGAUCAUCAUCAAAAUGAAGAAAUCAUUGAAGAUGCAGAUCCUGUAAGAGUUCAAAGGCCCUCCUUUAUUUAUAAGCUGUAUCGUGCUUUAAAAGGGACUGGUACUCCAUUGAACUAUGUCGAUGAUUUUCUUAAGGACAAAGGAUAUGGAAAUGAAUAUAUCUUUUUGCGAAAAAUGGAAAGUUUGGGAAUUGCUCGUAAAGGGGUGGCAGAAGAAACCCUUGCGAAUAUCCCAAGUGAUCCUCGUGAUUGGGGAUUUAAUCCAGUAGAUGGAAAUGAUGAUGACAAAUUAUACAGCCAAUUUCAAUCAAGAAUGGGAGUUGCGGCAAAAAUUCGAGGAAAAAUGGGAGAGUUGUUUAGAUCGAAGGAACAAAAGAAUCUAUACUCAAAAUUGCUGAAGCGUGGGGUGAUAAACCCUAGGAGUGUGGAUUUUGAUUUUCUGGAUGCUGUGAAUGUGAACUUGAGGGAAAAGUUCGGUCAUCUUCAACUUGAAAAAUUAUGCUCUGACACCACAGAAGCCUAUCCUCAACUAACUGUUUAUUUCUAUUCAAAUCUCAGUUUCUUGGAUGCGAAUAGAUUCUCUUUCAGUGUCCAAGAUCAAGACUUUGUAGUGGAUAUGGAUAUGCUAGCAGAUGUGUUAGAAGUUGAGAGAGGAAGAUAUCAAUGGAUCAAAGUUUCUAUUGCUCGUGCUACAUUGGAACUUGUUAAGAAUAGGAGAACAGAGGAAAAGAUUUCCUACUCAAGGAUGAGUGCAUUCAACAUUUUGCUGCACAAAAUUGUAAUCAAUUGCCUCAGACCGAAAUCAACUUCCAAGACUGAUGUUUCAAGUUCAGAGGCAAAGCUGAUGUAUGCCAUCAUCUCUGGGAAAAGGUUUUCACUUCCUCACACUAUUAUGUUCCACAUGUAUAGAGCUAUGAUGAAGGACAGAGGUCAACUUCCUUAUCCAGGUCUUGUGACGAAGUUAUUCAAACAUCUGAACAUUCAACCUCCGCAAAUUCUUUGUGCUCGAUCGUGCGAUCAUAUGGUGGUAGGACUGAAAAUGGUGACCAAGAUGCGUCUGAAGGAACUAAGCAAGGCAUUGGAGAAAUUUAAGGAGAAGACUCCAGUCAAAACUCAUCAAUUCUCUUCUGCAGGAAAAAGAAAAGGGAAGGAGCCCAUGGAUGCUCCAUCUAAGAGAAGAAGAGCUUUCCUCGUUGAGGAUGAAGAUGAUGAGGAAAACAUCACUAUUUCUGCUUUGAAAAAUCUCAGUCGAUCUGUUCCAGAGAAAGAGUCAGAACAGCAGACAGAAGAAAGAACAGAGAAAGAAGCAGAGGAAAAAGAAACUGAGGAAAGAGAAGAAGAAGAAAGAGAUGCUGAGAAAGAGAGAGUUGAAAAAGAAGAAGAAGAGAAAAGAGAUCAAGCGGAAGGAGAACAUGAGGAGCACUCUCUACCUGAAGGCAUGAACACAGGGGGAGACCAAGAGAAAAGAGGAAUGUCCUCAAAUCCUGCAACCAGUGAGGGAGUCAGUCGAUCCCCAGCAGAUCCAGAGGAUAUUUAUGCCUCUCGGUUUCCUGAGGAAGGUCAUGAUGUUUCUUCGCCAAAUCUGCGUGAUUAUGCUGAUCUACCAUCGUCUGCAUUUACUCCAUUAGAUCGUGCUAACGCCAGUACGCAGACCGACAAUUCAGCAGACUUUUGCAGAGUUAUGGAUAUUCUCUUGGAGAUGCAAGGUCAGAUAUAUGCAUUGGGAUGUGAAGUUCAGAACUUGCAGAAUGCAGGACAAGUUUCUUCGGGUUCAUUGAAUGAUCAACUCCAAGCCCUUUCUCUUCAGAUUCAGGCUAAUGCUAAGGGUGAGGAUGUUGCACAACUGAAGGAAGACUUGAAAAGGCCGAAAGGCAUCGUUCAGUCGAUGGGAGAUUUCCAGCUUGUUCGUGUUCCCAAGCAUUUUUGACUCCAUUUUCAUCUCAAAUUUUUUUAUGCUGACAAAAAGGGGGAGAAUUGCGAGACUUGAAAAACUUUAAACUUAAAAAAAACUUUGAACUUAAAUUUGUCGAACUUUUGGCUUGUUGGUUUGUGGUUUUUUUUUACUUGACUUGUGUGUCUGGAUGUGGACUAAAUUUGGGAUUUGGAUUUGACUGCUUAUUAUUAACUACUAUUGAUAUCUUAUGGAUGGCUUUAAAAGCAUAUUAGACUAACCUAUUUUCUGUGGUUGCAGAUUCUAGUGUUAUUCAAUUAGCCAUUUAUCUCUAUAAGAUAUGCAUAUGUGUUUGAGAAAUGUUUUGUAGGUCAAAGUUUUCCAAAUCUGCAAGAAAGUUUUGUCACCAUCAAAAAGGGGGAGAUUGUUGGAGAAAUCUUCUUAAAGUGUUUUGAAGUUGACAAAACGUUUCCAUCAGUCUAGUCUGAAGGCUUGCAGACUCUGCUAUUUAAAGUCUGAAGACCUCCGGAUAGUCAGACUCAACACUCAAAGUCUAUCCUCAUUGACAGUUUCUAAUCCGUUGAAGAAAGGCUAUCCAAAACUGGAUGUUUCAUUAAGGAUGUGGCCUUAUCGACUAGAGAAGAUCUCUUGGCUGGAUAUGACAUAACGGAAUCCUUUGUUUGAUCAUAAUUGAUUCAAAGAUUAAGGAUCCGAUGAUUGGCAAAGUAUACUUGGAAGGUUCUACUUAUGGAAACCGAGAUCCUGAUUGUAUGGGCGAACAGGAUUGAUGGGCUAUCGACAUGUUCCUUUAAUAGCUCGAAUGAUCUUCCUAAUUGAUUCCGUCCAACGGGUAGAUUGGAGGAAUUCCUUUGGUAAGUGCUAACAGGUAUGAUGGCAUGAAGGAGUAUAUAAGGAAGACGUUCCAGUUGUUCGAGUGUGUGCACGAUAGAAGAAUUCCAAAGUCUGAAGCUCUUUGUUCUUAGUCAAUUCAUUUGUUGAGCAAAAUCGUGUAAACAAAAGAGAGUCUAUAUUCGUGAGAAACCUUGAGGAAGUGUGGUAGAUCAUCUACACUGUGGAAUCAAGGAAAAGCUGUGCUGUAACUUCUCUUUUGUUUAUAGUGAAAUCCAGCCGGUGGGCUGUCAGUGCAUAAAAGUGGACGUAGGCUUGGAAUAAGCCGAACCACUAUAAAUCUUAUGUUCAAUUCUCUCUUCCCUAACCUUUACUUUACUUUGAUCGUAUUUUCCUUUCUAUCGAUUGCCUAGAAUCGCUUCCGUAUCUCGACAAAUUGUUUGUGCACCUAUUCUCCCCCCUCUAGGUGCUUAUACUAGCUAUCUCAAUAGGCACUUUCUUUUUUCACUAAAAAACGACCAUUCACUAAAAAACGAUCAUGCUCCGAACCGAUCAAUCCAAUUCAAUUCCCGAGCAAUCUAAUAAAACUACUCACACAUGUUCCCACAUGCAAAAUAUUCAAACUUCACUUGCGUGAAUAUCAAUCAUAGUUUAUGUGUUUCACGCUUAAUUUUAAGCAUAAAAGCCAUGAACAAUUUGAUUAAAGGUUGUGCUUGGCUUAGGUUUUAUAGACAAUCUCUCUUCUAUGCUUUGAAUGUUUAGUCGAUGUGAGACUCUUUAAGGCUUGAAGUGCCUUGUCGUUUGCAAGUGAGGGGAGCAAGAGAGAGACUGUGAGCAUGAGAAACCCCUAGAGCGUUGUCCUACGAUCAAGGGAAAGAUGAGUACCCAUCGGUCUAAUUCAAAGAGCGGGAAUGGUUUUAGAGACAGAUGAAUCUGCAAAAAGCAUACUUAUGGCAAGACCCAUGAUAGCAUGGGAAGCUACAAAAGUCGUGGAAAUGGAGAAUAUGCACGGGAGGGCAACCUUCACUCAUCAAGAUCAACUAGAAAUGCUCUCUUAGUCUCAAGCGGACAGAUCACUCUUUUCUAAACAUCUGAGAGUGACACCUACAUAAGAUUUUAGUUGCUAGGAUUUUGCAAUUCACAAUGUAUUGUCGAUACACUGACAUGUAAAAUGAGCAAAGAACAGCGAAGAUGAAACUAACAAGUAAAUUUUCUCUAUAAAUAAAAAGUAACAACAAGAGCUUUGGUGGUCUCUUGGCCACGUUGUUACCUCAAUUGCAAUAAUAAGUUUCAUAUAUAAUAUUCAUAUAUUAUAUGUGUUUAUAUAUUAUAUGUAUAUAAAUUAUAUAUAAAAAAAUUUGGUCCGGUCCGGUCGGUCCGAUCGGUCCGGGUCCCACCUUGGAACCAGGAACCGAACCAACCGGCCGCCGGUUCCAAGAUUAAGAACCAGGAACCGGACCGCCGACCGUGGGAACCGCCCAAAACCUGCCAGUCCGGUCCGGUCCAAUUCGGUCCCAGUUCGGGCAAUUUCCGUUGCACACCCCUAAUUCAAGAUAAAGCUAAUCUCUGGCAUCGAAAGCUUGGCCAUAUCAACAUGAAGCAAAUUGCCAAGAUCUCUUCAAAGAAGCUUGUUCGUGGACUACCCAAUCUGAAAUACCAAAAAUCUGAAUUAUGCACACCAUGUGUGUCGGGAAAACAGGUUAUAAGUUCUUUCAAAUCAAUAAAUCAAGUUUCCACUAAUCGUGUGCUGCAGCUCUUGUAUAUGGAUCUCUUUGGACCAACUAAAACUCAAAGCAUUGGUGGAAAGAGAUAUUGCCUAGUAAUAGUGGAUGAUUAUUCACGAUUUACUUGGGUAUACUUUCUAGCAAGUAAGUCAGAUACAUUCUCUUAUUUUUUAAAGUUUGCUAAGAAGGUACAGAAUGAGAAAUGGUAUGUUAUUUCAAGCAUUCGGACAGACCAGGGAGGUGAGUUUGAAAAUCAAGACUUUGCUAAAUUCUAUGAUGAAUCUGGUUUUCAGCAUAUGUUCUCCUCUCCAUACACUCUCGAACAGAAUGGAGUUGUGGAAAGGAAGAAUAGAUCAUUGCAAGAAAAUGCUAGAACACUUUUAAUUGAAAGCAAUAUUUCUCCUUAUUUUUGGGCUGAAGUAAUUUCUACAACAUGUUAUAUCAUUAACAGAGUUUUCUUAAGGCCUAUUUUGGAGAAAACUCCCUAUGAGUUGUUCAAAGGAAAGAAGCCAAUUGUUUCCUACUUUCAUGUGUUUGGUAGCAAAUGUUUUGUAUUGACAAAUGCAAAUGAUCGAAUUGGUAAGUUUAAAGAAAAAUCAGACGAAGGAAGCUUCCUUGGAUAUUCAACUUCCAGCAAAACUUACAAAGUAUAUAACAAGAAGAUUCAAUCUGUGGAAGAAUCGAUGAAUGUCAAAUUUCAAGACCUUAUACAAAAUCAAUCGAUCUAGACUCAACCUGAAGAAUCUGAACCUGCUCCAGACUCUACAAAGUCUAAUUCCGCAGAAGUAGCUCAAACUUCAGAUGGGCAACAACGAACAAAUGUAAAAGAAUCAACUGAAGAAAAAGUUCAACAGUCUGUCAGACCAACCAGCAACUGGAAGCACAAGUCCAAUCAGCCCAAAGAACUCAUCAUUGGUGACAUUGAUGAAGGGAUUCAUACAAGAUCCAAAAGGCAUGAAGAGUCUAGCGAUGUGGCUCUUAUUUCUGAAAUAGAACGCAAAAGCAUAGAAGAAGCUUUAACUGAUGAAAGCUGGAUUGAAGCUAUGCAAGAAGAGCUCAAGCAGUUUAGUGUUAAUGAUGUUUGGGAAUUAACUCAUAAACCAAAAGGUAAAUUUGUUAUUGGAGCCAAAUGGGUUUUCAGGAACAAUAUCGAUGAAAAAUGAAAAGUUAUAAGGAACAAAGCAAGACUUGUAGCCAAAGGAUAUACGCAAGAAGAAUGGAUAGAUUAUGAUGAGAUUUAUGCUCCAGUAGCAAGGUUAGAAGCAAUUAGAUUAUUACUUACUUUUGCUUGUUAUAAGAAUUUCAGGUUAUUCUAAAUGGACGUCAAAAGUGCAUUCCUGAAUGAAUUUAUCCAAGAAGAAGUUUAUGUGGAACAACCUCCCGGUUUUGAAGACCCAAGGAAACCAGACUCUGUAUUCAGACUGAAAAAUGUGCUAUACGGUUUAAAGCAAGCCCCUCGAGCUUGGUACGACAGAUUAAGUAAGUUUUUAAUCCAAAAUGGCUUUGUUAAAGGUAAAGUGGACACUACUCUGUUUAUUAAAAGAAAAAGUAAAAACUUUAUACUUGUUCAAAUCUAUGUUAAUUAUAUUAUUUUUGGAUCACCUCACGAAAACCUAUGCAAGAAAUUCUCUAAGUCCAUGCAGGAUGAAUUCGAGAUGAGCAAGAUGGGUGAACUAUCCUUCUUUCUCGAACUACAAGUGAAAUAAUUGAAGGAAAGAAUUUUUAUUCACUAAGAAAAAUACACUAAAAAUUUUGUUAAAAAGUUCGGUUUGGAGAAUUGCAAAAAGAUUGACAUAUCAAUGUCAAAUUCUUUGAAGAUGGACAAAGAUGAAGGAGAUAAAAAAAAAAGUUGACCAGAAGCUGUACAGGAGUAUCAUUAGUUCACUUCUUUAUCUUACUGCCUCUAGACCUGACAUUUUGUUUAGUAUUUGUAUAUGUGCCAGAUUUCAAUCGGAUCCCAAAGAAUCCCAUCUAAGUGCUGCGAAACGCAUCAUCAAAUACGUUGCAAUAACCUUAAAGUUAGGUCUAUGGUAUCCUAAAGAAUGAGACUUUACUCUCCUUGAAUAUUCAGACGCAGAUCUAGCAAGAUGCAGAGUUGAUAAAAAGAGCACAUCGGGUACUUGUCAACUGCUUGGUAACAGAACAGUAUCCUAGUUUUCAAGGAAGUACAGUAAUGUAACUCUUUCAACAGCAGAAGCAGAGUAUGUGGCUCUUGGAAGUUGUUGUUCUCAAAUCUUAUGGAUAAAACAACAACUAAGAGACUUUGGUAUCGAAGACUCAUGCACUGAGAUCAAAUGUGACAACACCAGCACGGUUAAUCUCACCAAGAAUCCAAUUCUACAUUCAAGAGUGAAGCACAUAGAGAUUCAACACCAUUUUAUUAGAGACCAUGUUCAAAAUGGAGAAGUCUUGAUUCAAUUCAUUGACUCAAAAAAUCAGCUAGCGGACAUUUUUACAAAGCCAUUGGAGAAAAAUCUAUUUGAGUCUAUUCGCUCCAGACUUAAUAGCUUAAAGUCUGAAGAAGCUCAGACUCAGGGAUAACAGUAUGAAGAUGUUUAGACUCAGAAGACCAAAAAUUACGACUGUUAGUUAUUUCAAGUCUAGCAAUUUAGUUUUCGGAUAAAAACUCAAAAAGUUACGAUUGCUUAUUAAUCGGCAAUUGAUUGAUGUUAUCUUCCCAAGUUUUUGAAAUUGUAGCAAUUAUUCUUUUUCGAAAAGGAAGUUAUCUUUUUAAAAUGGCAAUUAUAUAUUUUCAAAAAGGCAGCUAUCUUUGAAAAGAUAUUUCUUAUUUUUCCUUUUAUGACAAUCAGUAUACCUCGUUUCGAUUGCUUUAUAUACUGUCCUUCUUCUUCAUUUUUACUCACAAACCUAGAGCACAGAACCUCACCUUCUUACUUUUUAUCUCUAGUUUAAUCCUUAAAGUUUUCAUCUUUCUCGCGAAUCGAGUUCGGAAAUUCUCUCAAAGACUGUGAUAAUGUCUUCCCAAAGAAAGUUCUCAAGGAUUGCAAGCAGGGAACCACAACAUAUGCGUGAGGGUCCUACGCACUUCGAUCUAACUGAGGAAGAAGACUCUUCAAGGCAGCAGCAAAGUCAACAACAACAUUCUCAGCCGCGCCAUUCUUCUCAAGCUAGACCACAAGAGUCUCCACAACAACAAGUAGAGGAAGAAAUUAUUGAGGAUGUCGAACCUGUAAGGACUCUUAAGCCUACUUUUACUUUCAAACUGUACAUCGCCCUGAAGAAAGGUGGUUCUCCGAUGACUUUUAUUGAUGAAUUUUUGAAAGAAAAGGGGUACCGAAAUGAAACAUAUUUUUUAAGAACGAUGGAACGUUUAGGAAUUGCUCCUGCUGGUUCGGCAAAAAGGGCUUUUGCGAACUUCCCAAGUGAUCCACGUUUAGGAGGAUUUAAUCAACCAGAAGGAAAAGAUGACGAUGAGAAAAUGUUCACUCAUUUCAAGCCUAGAAUGGGUGUUGCUACGAAAAUUCAAGGAAAAAGGACAAAUCUGUUUCGUUCUGAGGAACAUAAGCAAGUUUACUCUAAGUUGCUGAAGCGAGGGGUAAUGAAUCCAAGGAGUGUGGACUUUGAUUUUCUUGAUUCUCUGAACGUGAAAUUACGGGAGAAAUUUACUUUAGUUCAACUUGAACAUUUUUGCUCUGAGACAACCGUAGCUCAUCCAGAACUCACUGUGUAUUUUUAUUCCAAUCUAAGCUUUUUAGAUGCGAAUAGAUUUUCAUUUAGUGUUAGAGACUAGGAUUAUGUGGUUGAUAUGGAUAGUCUAACUGAUGCGAUUUGAGUGGAGAGAGGGAUAUUCCAAUAAAUUAGUGUGUCUAUUGGUCAUGCUACUAUGGAGCUUGUUCAAGACAAAAUUGCAGAAGUUCGGAUUUCGUAUUCGAGGAUAAGUGCCUCAAAUGUCUUGCUCCAUAAGAUUGUAAUUAAUUGUCUCGAACCCAAAUCCACAUCAAAAACUUAUGUCUCCAUUUCUGAAGUAAAGCUGAUGUAUGCCAUCAAUAUUGGUUACAAGUUUUCUCUACCACACACUAUCAUGUUUCACGUGUAUAGGUCAAUGGUAAAGGACAAGAACCAACUUCCCUAUUAAGCUCUUGUUACUCGUCUAUUCAGACAUCUUAAUAUUCAGCCUCCCAAAGUUUUGUGUGUUCGCACUUGUGUUCCAAUGGUGGUAGGACUGAAGAUGGUUUCAAACAUGUGUCUAAAAGAACUAAACAAGGAUUUAGAGCAUUUUAAGGAGAAAACCUCUGUCAAAACUCGUCAAGACCAUGUGGCUGCAAAACGGAAAGACAAGGAGCCCAUGACAGCUCCAUCUAAGAAGAGGAGAGCACUCAUCUUGCAAGAUAAAGAAGAUGAGGAUGACAUCACCAUUUUUGCUCUUGCCUUAAAGAACUUACAGUGUCUUGUUCCAGAGACUGAGGAUAGAGAAAACCAAGACAGAGAGGGACCAAAGCAGAGGAGUGAAGAGAGGGAAUCGAUGAGGAAGGAAGAAGAAGAAGGAAGAACUACAGAAGAAGAGCAAAGAGGAGAACAAACAGAAGGAGAAAGUCAUGGUGAUUCUCCAACAGAGAAUGAAGGACAAGAUUAUGGUAGGACUGAAGAAGAACCAGAGCAUGAAGAGUACUUCUCUCCACCCGAAGGCACUGAAAUAGGGGGAGCUGCUGAUAAAAGAGGCACUCUUUCACUUGCUUUUACCAGCGAUGAUGUCAGUCGUUCUCCUGCCGAUCCAGAAGAUGUAUAUGCCUCUCAAUUUCCUGAGGAAGCUAAUGAGGUUUCAUCUCCAAGUCUAGAUGUUCAUGAUGAAGUUCCAUCAUCUGACAAUACUCCUCAAACUGAUCAUGCUGAAGCAAGCACUCAAACUGACAACUCAGCAAACUUUAGAAGACUGCUUGAUGUUCUUUUGGAGAUCAGAGGUCAGAUUUAUGCUUUGGGAUGUGAAUUUCAGAACAUGCAGAAUGCUAACCAAGCCAUUUCAGUUUCACUGCACGAUCAAGUUCAGGCUCUUAAUCUUCAAGUUCAAGCAACUGCCAAGAGUGAGGAACUAGUGCAACUAAAAGAGGAUCUAAGAAAGCUAGAGUAGACUAUCCAGUCAAUGGGAGAUUUCCAGCUUGUUCGCGUUCCAAAACAAUCUUAAUUUUGUCAUAUUCUCUUUUUCGUCUUUACCUUUUUAAUGUUGACAAAAAGGGGGAGAAGUUGGUGCAGAUUUGGCAGAUUUGACCUUUAGAUAUGACUUUUUGGUUGUGUUUGAUUUGGACUGUGUUUUGUUUGUUUAAUGCUUGCAGUAUCUUAAUCAUUGUUAGAUAGUUGUUUUUACAAGAUUAACUCGUUUCCUGUGGAUGCAAAUUCGACACUAUCCUUAUCCUAACUUAUUUAUCUUUUAUGAGAUAUCUUUGUUUGCUUAAGUACUGUUUUGCAGGACAAAAGUAUCCAAAUCUGCAGGAAAGUUUUGUCAUCAUCAAAAAGGGAGAGAUUGUUGGAGAAAACUUCCUUAUCUGUUUUGAAGUUAACAAAACAUUUCCUUUAGUCUAAUCUGAAGACUUCCAAACUCUAUCGUCAAAGUCUGAAGACCACCAGACACAAGACUUAAAGUCUGCCCUCAUUAACAGUUUCUAGAUCGAUGAAGAAGACUUAUCCAGAUGCAAGUAUGUCUUUAAGGAUUUGAUUUGUGCAUCUAAAGAAUCUCUCACGGCUUGGAUGGCAUCUCAAGAUUUGUUAUUCGUAUUGAAAUUGAUUCGAGUAACUAAGAUCCGUUGAUUUGUGAAGUAUACUUGGAAGGUUCUACAUAUGGAAACCUAGAUCCUGGUUGUAUGAGCGAGCAGCAUUGGUGGGCUAUCUUCAUAUUCCUUAAAUAACUCGAGAUCUCCCUAAUUGAUUCUGUCCAACGGGUAAAUUAGAAGAACUCUUUUGGAAUGUGCCAACGGUUAUGAAGGCAUGGAGGAAUUUAUAAAGGAAGACGCUCUAGUUAUUCGAAGGUGUGCAAGAUAGAUAAAUUCCAAAGUCUGAAGCUCCUUAUACUUUGCUUAUUCAAUUGUUGAGCUUAUAUUCGUACUCAAAAGAGAGAUUAGAUAUUGGUGAGACCUUGAGGAAGUGUAAUAGAAAUUCUACACUGUGGAAUCAAAGAUGUGAGAUUAUAACACCUCUUUUGAUUCAUAGUGAAAUCCAGCCGGUUGGCUAUCAGUGCGAGAGAGUGGACGUAGGCUUGGUCUAAGUUGAACCACUAUAAAUCUUGUGUUCUUAUUCUCUUCCCCGAACUCCUUUAUUUUGUUCGUAACUUUAUUUAAUUGCUAGAGUCUGAUUUCCUCUGCAAAGUCUUUUGUCAACCAGACUCAGGUUAAAAGUAAAUUUUUAUACUAUAUUUUGCAAAAUUUGUUUUCACACCUAUUCACCUUCCCUCUAAGUGUUCGUACUAGCACUUUCACUUUCUGGGGCCACCAGGGGGAGGUCGUUCUUAUCUUACCCUGACAAAGCACACAAACAUCUGAAAGAGCUCUGGACUCUAGAGAUUAAUACCUAUAGCAUAAUCAGCGAUCAUUCUUGGUGACAACUUCUAGCUAGUGAAUGAUAUAUAGCACCUUCAUCGUGUCUUGCUAUCAAAUAGAUCUCCAUGAAAGUUUACUGGCAAAAGCUGACUAUUAAGUGUUGGAGAAAACUCUUUUAUUUAGAAGUUAACAAAACGUUUCCAUCAGUAUAGUCUGAAGACUUGCAAACUCUUUCGUCAAAGUCUGAAGACCUCCAGACUCAAGAUUUAAAGUCUACCCACACUGACAGUUUCUUGACCAAUGAAGAGAAGACUUAUCCAGAUGCGAGUUUUUCUUUAAGGAUUCGGUUCGUACAUUUUGAAGAAUAUCUUACAACUAGAGAUAACACCUUGUGAUCAAUUAUUCUUAUUGGAAUCAAUUCGGAUAAUUAAGAUCUUUUGAAAGGCGAAGUAUACUUGGAAUGUUCUACUUAUGGAAACCUAUAUCCUGAUUGUAUGGGCGAGCAGGAUUGGUGAGCUAUCAUCACAUUCCUUAAACGACUCGAGAUCUUCUUGAUUGAUUCUGUCCAACAACUAGAUUGGAAGAACUCCUUUGGAAAGUGCCAACGGAUAUAGAGGCAUGAAAUAGUAUAUAAAGAAAACGAUCAAGUUGUUCGAAUGUGUGCGUGAAAGAAAAAUUCCAAAGUCUGAAGCUCUUAGUUCUUUGCUUUCUCAAUCGCUGAGCUUAAGUUAUACUCAAAAGAGAGAUCAAACACUUGUGAGACCUUGAGGAAGUGUAGUAGAGUUUCUACAUUGUGGAAUCAAGGACGUGAGACUGUAAAUCUCUUUUGAUUCAUAAUGAAAUCCAGCCAAUAGAUUGUCAGUGCGGGAGAGUGAACAUAAGCUUGAUCUAAGCUGAACCACUAUAAACAUUGUGUUUCAAUUCUCUUUCCCUAUACUCUUUGCUUUAAUUCGUAGCUUUAUCUAAUUGCUUAUAGUCUUUUACAUAUUCAAUCUGUUAUUCUUGAAAGACAAGUUAACUUGUCAAAAAGUCUAGCGUAAAUUGGCUAGAACACCAAUUCACCCCCCCUCUAGGUGUCCUUACUAGCCCUAUCAAUUAGUAUCAAAGCUUGUAUGCUCAUUUAAUUGAAGUGUUUUUACUUCUGAGUUAAAUAUCUAUGGCUAGUAUGUUGGCUCCAGGUUUGAUUGAAGGCCAAAGCAACACUAGACUUCCUUACUUUGAUGGAAAGGAAUACAGCAUAUGGAAAAACAAGAUGAAGGCAUUCCUAAGAUCGAAAGACCCUCUAGAAUGGGAUGUGGUAGAAAAAUGAAUCAUUUCUAAAGCUGCAUCAAUUUCAGAAAGAGGAAAAGAAGUUGUAGAUGCUAGCAAGAUGACAUAAGAAGAAAUAACAAAGAGACAAACUCUUGAUGCUAAAGUAAUUUACUCUUUAUAUUGUGUUUUAUCUCCUACUGAGUAUAGCAGAAUUUCUUCUUAUGAAACAGCCAAAGAAGUUUGGGAUAUGCUGCACAUUACCUAUAAAGGCAUUGAUCGAGUGAAAGAAACAAAGAUCAAUAUUUUACUCGGACAAUAUGAAGCUUUCAAGAUGAAGUCAAGAGAAUCUAUCACCGACAUGUUUAGUCGUUUUACAGAGAUUGUAAACGGUCUGGAGUAUCAGGGACAAUCAAUCUCAAGACCAAUGAAGGUUAACAAAUUGCUGCGUGGACUCUCUAAAAAUGGGAACCACGUGAAGACUUCAAUAAGGGAAACUCAAAGGAUCAUGCCGCUUUCUGUAAACAAGCUGGUUGGCACACUUCAGUCUUAUGAAGUGGAGCAAAUCAACGAAGAAGAAGAUCCUAAGGGUAAGAAGUCAAUUGUUUUAAAAUCUAACGAUGACUUUGAUGUUACAGACUCUGAAGAUGAUAUGGACGAUGAAGAGUUAGCACUUAUGAUAAGGAGGUUCAGGAAACCGAAAAAAAAAAUGGAACAAGAUUCAAUUGGAAGAAACAAAGCACUCAAAAGUUUCAAAACAAAUCAACUGAGAAUGAUGAAGCCAACAAAGACGUAAUCUGUUUUGAAUGCAAGAAAAAUGGACACAUCAGACCCAACUGUCCUCCGUUGAAGAAAAAGAAGGGAAAAGCUAAGAAAUACAGAAAGACUCUCAAAGUAGAGACAUGGAGUGAUGCUGAAUGUGAAUAAAGUAACGAAGAUUAUGCCAAUAUAUGUCUAAUGGCAAAAUCAAGAUCAGACUCAGACUCUGAGAUAGAUUCAAAUUCAGACUCAGACAGUAAAAUCGAGGUAAGCAAUUUAAAAAAUCCUACUAAAAUCUCGAAAUACGUUGAUGAACUUUGUCUCAAUCUCAAAACCUCUCUUAAGAGGAUUUCCGAGCUAGAAAGGGAAAAUUCUACACUUAAGCAACAAGAAAAUUCUUGGAAAGAAAAGUUUGAAAAUCUAGACAAAAGCUUUGUGGUUUAAAAGAAAAUGCAGACUCUCUUUCAAAAGAAAAUACAUUUUUGAAACAAGACAUUUCAAAUAUUUCAAAAAGAUUUUCAAUAGAAUAUGAGAAUUUGAAAUAGAUUUUUUCAGUACAAAGACAUUAUUUCAACAAGUCAGGAUUAGGAAUGACCCCAGAAACCAUUCAUUUAAUUGAUUUUCCAAAUGUAAAUGAAAGAAUUAAACAAAGACCGACAAAAAAUUUUUACAGAAAUCAUUUUCAAAAAGUCUUUGUAAAAUCUGUUGGCCGAAGUGCUCUCAAAUGCUCAAAAUGCAAUAUCUCAAAACAUUUUGAAAAAGGAUUUUCCUAUGAUUUGGAGACUUGUUAAGAAAGAUUGGGGAGAGACUGUGUUUAAAACUAACUCCUCUGGACCCAAGAAGAUAUGGGUAACAAAGAAAGCUUGAGUUCUUUUUGUAAUUGCAGGUCACUAUCAAGAAAAAGAUUAAAUGGUAUUUGGAUGGUGGCUGUUCGAGACAUAUGACUGGAGAUUCAAGUUGUUUUAUAAAACUUGUGCAAAUAAAUGGUGGAAAAGUUUCUUUUGGUGGAAACAGCAAAGAAAAAAUUGUUAGGUGUGGAACUAUAAAAAUUGGAAGUCUCACAAUCAACAAUGUCUCCUUGGUGGAAGGACUAAAUUACAAUCUACUAAGCAUUAGCCAAUUGUGUGACAUUGGAUUCAAAAUCAACUUCCAAGUAAGAAUAUGUUCAGGAACUAGUAAAGAUCUUUCUCAAUCUUUUACUGAACGAAGACAUUGGAACAUUUAUCUUCUGGAUAUAAAACCAGAAAGAUCUCAAUGUUUGAUAUCGAUUCAAGAUGAAGCAAAUCUUUGGCAUCGAAAGCUUGGCCAUGUUAACAUGAAGCAAAUUGCCAAGAUCUCAUCCAAGAAUCUUUUUCGUGGACUGCCCAACCUGAAGUAUCAAAAGUCUUACUUAUGCACACCAUGUGUGUUGAGAAAACAUGUUAGAAGCUCUUUUAAAUCAAUAAAUCAGAUUUCUACUAAUCGUGUUUUGCAACUUUUGCAUAUGGAUCUCUUUGGACCAACCAGAAUUCAAAGCAUAGGUGGAAAGAGAUAUUGUCUAGUAAUUGUGGAUGAUUAUUCACGAUUUACUUGGGUCUACUUUCUAGCAAGUAAGUCUGAAACAUUUUAUUACUUUUCAAAGUUUGCUAAGAAAGUUCAGAAUGAGAAAUAAUAUGUUAUUUUAAGCAUACAGAAAAAUCACGGAGGGAAGUUUAAAAAUCAAGACUUUGCCAAAUUCUGUGAUGAAUCUAGUUUUCAGUAUGUUUUCCCUUCUCCAUACACUUCAGAACAAAAUGGAGUUGUGGAAAGAAAAAAUAAAUCUUUGCAAGAAAGGGCAAGAACUAUCUUAAUUGAAAGUAAUAUUUCUCCUCGUUUUUAGGCUGGAGCAGUUUUUAUAACUUGUUAUAUUAUUAACAAAGUAUUCUUAAGACAUAUUCUUGAGAAAACUCCCUAUGAGUUAUUCAAAGGAAAGAAGCCAAUUAUUUCUUAAUUUUCAUGUGUUUGGUUGCAAAUGUUUUAUUUUGAAAAAUGCAAAUGAUCAAACUAGUAAAUUUGAAGAGAAAUCAGACGAAUGAACUUUCCUUGGCUACUCAACCUCAAGCAAAGCCUAUAGAGUAUUCAACAAGAAGACUCAGGCCCCGUUUGGUUGGGCUUUCCUAAGAAGCUUUGAGCCUUCAAAACCCCUUCGAGAAAAAAAUUUGUGUUUGGCAAGUGUUUUUUAAUGCUCAUUUGCCAAAUGUGGGCAUUCUCAAUGCUGAAAGCUGAAUGCUAAGAAUGGGGUGCUUUGGGCAUUGAGCAUUUUGGAAAUGCAAUGCGUCACUAUUCAUCGUCUCUCCCCCUUCGUCUUCUUCUCUUCCCCGCCCAUCUUCUUCACUGUUCAUCUUCUUCUUCCCCGCCCAUUGGGCUUCUCCGGCAGCCACCGCCGCCGCCUGAGGGUCGUGCGUCCUCGAUGACCACCGCCUAGGGGUGGCACGACUCGCGACCCAAGCGGUGUUGCCUAGGUCGCAUGGACCUCAGGCAGCGUCACCUGGCGCUUGCGAACCUCAAGCAGUGUCGCCUGGGGCGCGCGGACCCCAAGCAACGCCACCUGGGUCCGCGGGAUCUUAAGCCACCAGAUCUGGCGGUCCGGAGGCCAAAUCUAGCCGUCAGACGGCCAGAUCUAGCCUUUGUGACCUCAAGCGCCUGAGGUCGCGCCUCCAGGUGGUGACAGCGUUGCCUGAGGUCGCAACCUCAAGCGACCAAAUCUGGCCACCACUCCGCCUACCACUUGAGGGCAUGACCUAGGUGGCCAGAUCUGGCCACCGGGCCAUCCGGCAGUAUCACCGGCCACCGGAUUUGAUUUUCAUAAUUUAAAAAAUAUAUAAAAAUAAAAGAAAUAAAAGCAAAAGCCCAUUACAAAUAUUAGUUAUGCCAAACGGUAUUUAUGUUAAAGUUACAUUUCAAUGCUACUUGAGACUACAAAUUACCAAACGGUGCAAUAUUUCGAAAAACCCUUUUACCUCAAAGGUAUUUGCAUUCUCCUAAAGGCAUUCCCCCAAAGCCGAACCAAACGGGCUCUCAGUCUGUGGAAGAAUCUAUGAACGUCAAGUUCCAAGACUCUUUGCAGAAUUAAUUGAUUCAAACUCAACCUAAAGAAUCUGAACCUACUCUAGACUUUACAAAGUCUACCUCCCCUAAAGUAGCUCAGACUUUUGAAGAUCAACAACGAACGGAAGAAUCAAUUGAAGCAAAAAAUCAGCAAUCUGUUAGACCGACCAGUAACUAGAAGCACAAGUCUAGUCAUCCUAAGGAACUCAUCAUCAGCGACAUUGAUGAAGGAAUUCGCACUAGAUCCAAAAAAACAAGAAAAGUCUAGCGUCAUGGCACUUAUUUCUGAAAUAGAACCCAAAAGUAUAGAAGAUGCCUUAGCUGACGAAAGCUAGAUUGAAGUUAUGCAAGAAGAACUCAGACAGUUUAGCAUUAACGAUGUCUGCGAAUUAACUCCUAAACCAAAAGGUAAAUCCAUUGUUGGAGCUAAAUGGGUUUUCAAGAACAAGAUAGACGAAAAAGGAAAAGUGGUCAAAAACAAAGCAAAACUCAUGGCCAAAGGAUAUACGCAAGAAGAAGGGAUAGACUAUGAUGAGACCUACACACUAGUAGCAAGAUUAGAAGCAAUUAGAUUAUUACUCGCUUUUGCAUGCUGUAAAAAAUUUAGGUUAUUCCAAAUGGACGUCAAAAGCGCAUUUCUAAAUGGAUUUAUCCAAGAAAAAGUCUAUGUGGAACAACCUCUUGGAAUUGAAGAUCCAAAGAAACCAGACUCAAUAUUCAGACUGAAUAAGGCUCUAUAUGGAUUAAAACAAGCACCUCAAGCUUGGUACAACAGGUUAAGUAAGUUUCUAAUUCAGAAUGAUUUUGUUAAAGGUAAAGUAGAUACUACUUUAUUUAUUAAAAGAGAAGGUAAAUAUUUUCUACUCAUUCAAAUCUAUGUUAAUGAUAUCAUAUUUGGAUCACCUAAUGAAAACCUGUAAAAGAAGUUUUAUAAGUCUAUACAGGAUGAAUUUGAGAUGAGCAUAAUGGGUGAACUAUCUUUCUUUCUCGGAUUACAAAUGAAGGAAUUUUCAUUCACCGAGAAAAAUAUGCAAAAGAUCUCGUUAAAAAGUUCAGAUUAGAGAAUUGCAAAAAGAUUGAAAUACCAAUGUCAAGUUCUUCAAAGCUGGACAAAGACGAAGGAAGAAAGAAAGUUGACCAAAAGCUUUACAUUAGCAUUAUUGGUUCAUUUCUUUAUCUUACUAUUUCUAGACCUGACAUUUUGUUUAGUAUUUGCAUUUGUGCAAGAUUUCAAUCAGAUCUCAAAAAAUCUCAUCUAAGUGCUGCAAAACGCAUCAUCAAAUAUGUUGCAACUACUUCAAAUUUAGGUCUAUGGUAUCCCAAAGAAUGAGACUUUAUUCUCCUUGGAUAUUCAUAUGCAGAUUUAGCAAGUUGUAGAGUUGAUAGAAAGAGUACCUCUGGUACGUGUCAAUUGCUAGGAAACAGGACAGUAUCUUGAUUCUCAAGGAAGCAAAGCACUAUAGCUCUUUCAACAGCAGAAGCAGAGUAUAUGGCUCUUGGAAGUUGCUGUUCUCAAAUCUUGUGAAUAAAGCAACAACUAAGAGACUUUGGAAUCAAAAAGUCGUGCACCGAAAUCAAAUGUGACAACACCAACGCAAUCAAUUUUACAAAGAAUCCAAUUCUUCAUUCAAGAGCAAAGCACAUAGAGAUUCGACAUCAUUUCAUUAGAGAUCAUGUUCAAAAUGGAGAAGCUAUGAUACAAUUCAUCAAUUCAAAGAAUCAACUGGCAGACGUAUUUACAAAGCCUCUGGAAAAAAGCCUAUUUGAGUCUAUUUGCACCAGACUGAAUAUCACAACUUUUAUCUAGUAAAGUUUGCAAAUGCUCAGACUCAGAGGUAAAAUCUGAAAGUGUUCAAGUUCAGAAAACCAAGAGUUACGAUUGUAAGUUAUUUCGGCUUUAGUAAUUUAAUUUUUAGUUAAAGAUUUGAAAAAGGUACAGUCUCUUUUUAAUCACUAAUUGAUUGUUAUAUUUUUAGAAAUUAUAUUUUCCGAGUUUUUGAAUUUAUGGUAGUUUUUCUUUUUCAAAAAGGCAGUUAUUCAUUUUCAAAAAGGCAGUUUUAUUUAUUCCUUUAUAACGAUUCAUAUAUAUCGUUUUGUUUGUUUUAUAUACUGUUGUUUUUCUUCUUCGUUUUCACUCACAAACCCUAGAUCACAGGACCUCACUUUCUCACUUUUUCUCACUAGUUUAAUCCAUAAAGUUCUCAUCUUUUUCACGAAUUGAGUUCGAGAAAUUUCUCAAAGACUGUGACAAUGUCUUUCCAAAGAAAAUCCUCUAUGAUCGCAAGUAGGGGACCACAACAUAUGCGUGAGGGUCCUACACACUUUGAUCUAACCAAGGAAGAAGACUCUCCAAGGCAUCAGCAAAGUCAACAAUAACAUUCUCAAUCGUGUCAUUCUUCUUAGGCUAGAACUCAAAUGCCUUCGCAUCAACAAGCAGAGGAAGAAAUCAUCGAGAAUGUAGAACCUAUAAGGACUCUUAAGGCCGCAUUUCUUUUCAUACUCUACACCGCUUUGAAGAAAGGUGGUUCUCCAAUGACCCUUAUUGAUGAUUUUUUGAGCGAAAAAGGGUAUAGAAAUGAAACUUACUUUUUAAAGACGAUGGAGAGUUUGGGCAUUGCUACUGCCGGUUCGGCAAAAAGAGCUUUUGCAAAUUUCCCAAGUGAUCCACGGUUUGGAUCAUUUAAUCAACCUGAAGGAAAAGAUAAUGAUGAGAAGAUGUUCACACAUUUUAAGCCCAGGAUGGGUGUCGCUGCGAACAUUUGUGGUACAAGAAUGGAUCUUUUUCGUUCUAAGGAGCACAAUAAAGCUUAUUCUAAAUUCUAAAGUGAGGGGUGAUGAACCCUAGAAGUGUGGAUUUUGAUUUUCUCGAUUCAUUGAACUUGAAGUUACGGGAGAAGUUUACAUUGCUUCAACUCGAACGGUUUUGCUCUAAAUCAACUAUUGCUCAUCCGGAACUUACAGCUUAUUUCUAUUCCAAUCUAUCCUUUUUAAAUGCGAAUAGAUUUUCCUUUAGUGUUAGAGACCAGGAUUUUGUGGUUGAUGUAGACAUUCUGGCUAAUGUGAUUAGGGUGGAAAGAGAGAGUUUCCAACCAAUCAGUGUGUCUAUUGCUCAUGCUUCCUUGGCACUUGUUCAAGAUAGAAUUGCUGAAGGCCGAAUUUCUUACACUAGGAUGAAUGCCUUCAAUAUCUUAUUUCACAAUAUUGUCAUUAACUAUCUCAGACCCAAAUCAACAUCAAAAACUGAUGUCUCAAACUCUGAAGCAAAGCUGAUGUACGCCAUUAACAUGGAUUUCAAGUUCUCUCUGCCUCACACUAUCCUUAUGCACAUGUAUAGGAUAGUGAUAAAGGAUAAGGGACAACUCCCUUAUUCUGCUCUUAUCACUCGUUUAUUCAGACAUUUAACAUUUAGCUUCCCAAAAUUCUGUGUGUUCGAACCAUUAAUCCAAUGGUAGUGGGACUGAAUAUGGUUUCCAAGAUGCGUCUGAAGGAGCUAAAUAAGGCUUUGGAGCGUUUUAAGGUGAAGACCCCUGUCAAGGCACGACAAGACUCUACGGCUGGAAAAAGGAAAGGCAACGAGCCCAUGAAAACACCAUCCAAGAAUUGGAGAGCACUCAUCUUGGAGGAUGAAGAAAAUGAGGAUGACAUCAUUAUCUCUGCUCUUACUUUGAAGAACUUAUAGAGUUUUGUUACAGAGACAGAAGAAGAAGAAAGAACAAAAGUGAGAUAGCUAGUAUGAGCACCUAGAGAGGGGUGAAUAGGUGUAAAAAUAAUUCUUCGUGAUAUAAGAACAAUACUAAGCAGAUAAUAGAAAGGAAGUUCUUCAUUGGUUAACAAGACGAAUUAUGAUCAAAGUAAAGCAGAGAGUAGGGAAGAGAAAAUUGAACACGAGGUUUAUAGUGAUUCGGCUUAUUCCAAGACUACGUCCACUCUUCCGCACUGACAGCCCACCGGCUGAAUUUCACUAUGAACAAAAGAGAUGUUACAGCAAGUCACUUCCUUGAUUCCACAGUGUAGAACCUCUACCACACUUCCUCAAGGUCUCUCAAAGUAUAUACUCUCUUUUGCGUACAAGAUUUCGCUCAGUAAAUGAAUUGACUAAGAACAAAGAGCUUCAGACUUUGGAAUUCUUCUAUCGUGCACACUCUCGAACAAUUAGAACGUCUUCCUUUUAUACUCUUUUAUGCCAUCAUACCCAUUGGCACUUACCAAAGGAAUUCCUCCAAUCUACCCGUUGGACGGAAUCAAUUAGGAAUAUCAUUCAAGCUAUUAAAGGAACAUGUCAAUAGCCCAUCAAUCCUGCUCGUCCAUACAAUCAGGAUCUCGGUUUCCAUAAGUAGAACCUUCCAAGAAUACUUCGCCAAUCAUCGGAUCCUUAAUCUCUGAAUCAAUCAUGAUCAAAUAAAGGAUUCCGUUAUGUCAUAUCCAGCCAAGAGAUCUUCUCCAGUCGAUAAGGUCAAGUCCUUAAUGAAACACCCAGUUCUGGAUAACCCUUCUUCGACGGUCUAGAAACUGUCAAUGAGAAUAAACUUUGAGUCUUGAGUCUGGCAGUCCGGAGGUCUUCAGACUUUGAAUAGUAGAGUCUGCAAAUCUUCAGACUAGACUGAUGGAAACAUUUUGUCAGUUUCAAAAUAUUCCAGGAAGAUUUCUCCAACAAAAAGAAGUAGAGAGAGGAAGAGAAGAAGCAGAAGAAGAGGAUCAUGGUGCUUCUAGUGCAGAGGACGAAGGACAAGAUCUUCAUGAAGAACAAGAGCAAGAAGAGUAUUUUUCUCCACCUAAAGGCACUGAAACAGGGGGAGCUGCUAACAAAAGAGGUACUUCUUCACUUGCUCUUACUAGUAAUGAUGUUAGUUGUUCUCCUGCUGAUCUAGAAGAUGUAUUUGCCUCUCAAUUUCCUGAAGAUGGUAAUGAGGCUUCAUCUCCAAUUUUGAAUGUACAUGUUGAAGUUCCAUCAUUGGUUAAUCCUCCACAAUCUAAUCGUGUUGAAGCAAGUACUCAAACUGACGAUUCAACAGACUUUAAAAGACUGUUCGAGCUUCUUCUGGAGAUUAAAGCUCAGAUUUAUGAGUUGGGAUGUGAAUUUUAGAUCAUGCAGAAUGCUCAUAAAGCCACUUCAGUUUCUUUGCAUGACCAAGUACAAGCCCUUAAUCUUCAAGUUCAAGCAAAUACAAAGGGUGAGGAUUUAAAACAACUGAAGGAGGGUCUGAGGAAGCUGGGGGAGACUGUCAAGUCUAUGGGGGAUUUUCAACUCGUUCGCAUCCCCAAGCAACCUUGAUUUUAUCCAAUACUUUUUAUGUUCUCCACUUUUUGCUGUUGACAAAAAAGGGGCAAAAAGUGGAGAAAGUUUGUACAGAUUUGACUAUUGGUUUGGAUUUUUUUACUUUUUGGACUUAUCUUUUGCUUGGUUGUGGAUUGAACCUGUUGACUAUUUGAUUUGAUCUUUUGAUGCUUAUAGUAACUUAGGUUGUGACAAUUAUGGAAGGAUAGUUAUUUUGUAGGACUAACAAGUUUUCUGUAGUUGUAGAAUCGUUACUAUUCUUGUCCUAAUCUACUCACCUUUUAUGAGAUAUCUUGUUUUGCUUAAGUUUUAUUUUGUAGGUCAAAAGCAUUCACAUCUGUAGGAAAGUUUUGUCAUCAUAAAAAAGGGGGAGAUUGUUAGAGAAAACUCUCUUAUUUUGAAAUUAACAAAACGUUUCCAUCAGUCUAGUUUGAAGACUUGCAGACUCUUUCAUCAAAGUCUGAAGACCUCCAGACUCGAGAUUUAAAGUCUACCCACACUAAUAGUUUAUUGACCAACGAAGAGAAGACUUAUCUAGAUGCGAGUUUUUCUUUAAGGAUUCGGUUCGUAUGGUUUGAAGAAGAUCUUACGGCUGGAGAUAGCACCUUGUGAUCAAUUAUUCUUUUUGGAAUCAAUUCGGAUAAUCAAGAUCUUUUGAAAGGCAAAGUAUACUUGGAAGGUUCUACUUAUGGAAACCUAGAUCCUGAUUGUAUGGGCGAGCAAGAUUGGUGGGCUAUCAUCACAUUCCUUAAACGACUCGAGAUCUCCUUGAUUGAUUUUGUCCAAUGGGUAGAUUGGAAGAACUCCUUUGGAAAGUGCCAACAGAUAUAAAGGCAUGAAGGAGUAUAUAAGGAAGACGCUCAAGUUGUUCGAGUGUGUGCGUGAAAGAAAAAUUCCAAAGUCUGAAGCUCUUAGUUCUUUGCUUUCUAAAUUGCUAAGCUUAAGUUGUACUCAAAAGAGAGAUCAAACACUUGUGAGACCUUAAGGAAGUGUAGUAGAGUUUUUACACUGUGGAAUCAAGGACAUGAGACUGUAAAAAUCUCUUUUAAUUCAUAGUGAAAUCCAACCAGUAAACUGUCAGUGUGGGAGAGUGGACGUAGGCUUGGUUUAAGUCAAACUACUAUAAACCUUGUGUUUCAAUUCUCUUUCCUUAUACUACUUGCUUUAAUUCGUAGCUUUAUCUAACUGCUUAUAGUCUUUUACAUAUUCAAUCUGUUAUUCUUUAAAGAUGAGUUAACUUGUCAAAAAGUCUAGCGUAAAUUGGCUAGAACACCUAUUCACCCCCCCUCUAAGUGUCCUUACUAGCCCUAUCGUUAAGAACAUUAGUGUUUGCUGGAAAAUUUAUGAACUAGCAAACUGUGUAUUUUCAUACAGUUUGGCACUAUGCAUUGGUCGUAGUUGGUGUUUACUUGGAAUUUGGGAUACUUUAAUUUUCCCAUUGACAAAAGAUUCAUUUAUAAUUUCAUCAUUAUUUGCUGCAAUUUUCACAACGUUGACAGAAGGUAUUUUUCCAUCAGUUAUUUUGAUGAACAGGUUGCUUAUUUGAACAUGUUGAGAGCAAAAACGCACAAAUUUGAAUCUCAUUACCUUGACAAACUUGUUGGUAAUUCAAAUAAGCUUUGGUGCAUGUUUCAUCUCGCCUCAGGUAAGUCUUUAUACUAAUCAUCCAUUCAUUGCACUAUAGGAUCUGAAAAGGAUUAUUACGAGAGAUCACCUAUAAAUUCUGUUGAGAAAUUUUCUUGCCCCAUAAUUCUAUUCCAAGGGUUGGAAAACAAGGUACGCAAGUCAUGUUAUUUCCAAUGGUCCUUUGCCCCUCUAGUUUUACUCCCCAAAAAUCAAGGAAAAAGUAUAGAAUGAAGAAGGGGGAAAAAGUCCAGUGUCAAAAUUAGGGUUGUCUUUUAAUUUCCUCAUUAUGAAAUUGCAUCAGAUAAGUUUGGCUUCUCUUUUCACUUGAUAAAUAAAAUUUCAUCAAUGGCCUCAAGAUAUUUCUCUUUAAUCUCUAGCAUUCUAACGACUUUGAUGCCUGGCAUUUUGGCAAUUAUCUGCUACAUCUUGCAGGUGGUACCGCCUGAUCAAGCUUGCAAAAUUUAUGCAGCACUGAAGUAGAAAGGUAUGCCUGUUGUAUAGUGGAAUACGAAGGUGAGUAGCAUGGCUUUCACAAGGUAUUGUUCUUUGUGAGUCUUACAUAAAGAAGUUGUUAGAAAAAACUUCCUUAUUUAUUUUGAAGCUAACAAAACGUUUCCAUCAGUCUAGUUUGAAGACUUGCAGACUCUUUCGUCAAAGUCUGAAGACCGCUAGACUCAAGAUUUAAAGUCUGCCCUUAUUGACAAUUUCUAAACCGACAAAGAAGACUUAUCCAGAUGCGAGUAUUUCUUUAAGGUUUUGAUUCGUGCAGCUAAAGAAGUUCUCAAGGCUGGAAAUAGCAUCUCAAGAUCUAUUAUUCGUUUUGAAAUUAAUUCGAGUAAUUUGGAUCUGUUUAUUGGCAAAGUAUACUUGGAAGAUUCUACUUAUGAAAACCUAAAUCCUGAUUGUAUGGGCUAUCAUCACAUUCCUUAAGUAACUCAAGAUCUCCCUAAUUGAUUCUAUCCAACGGGUAGAUUGGAAGAACUCCUUUGGAAGGUGCCAACGGUUAUGAAGGCAUGGAGGAGUAUAUAAGGAAAACGCUCAAGUUAUUCGAGUGUGUGCGCGAUAGAUAAAUUCCAAAGUCUAAAGCUCCUUAUUCUUUGCUGAUUCAAUUGUUGAGCGUAAAUUUGUACUCAAAAGAGAGUUUAAAUAUUUGUGAGGUCUUGUGGAAGUGUAGCAGAGUCUCUACACUAUGGAAUCAAAGACGUGAUACUGUAACAACUCUUUUGAUUCAUAGUGAAAUCCAGUCAAUGGGUUGUCAGUGUGGGAUAGUGGACGUAGGCUUGGUCUAAGCUGAACCACUAUAAAUCUUGUGUUCUUAUUCUCUUCCCUGAACUCUUUUAUUAUGUUCGUAGUUCUAUUUAACUACUAAAGUUUAAUCUCGCUCACAAUCUGCUACUCUUCAGACUCAAGUUAAAAGUAAAGGUUUUCACUGCAUUUUGCAGAAUUUAUUUUUACACCUAUUCAUCACCCUCUAGGUGUUUAUACUAGCACUUUCAGAAGUCAUUUGUUAUGUGUGCAAUGCAAGAAAUUGAUGUGCAAUGUUUCACGGGUGGAAAAUAUCAAAUUCACAGUGGAACAACAAAUGUUGUUUUUUGCACGUUUGGUAGGACACUUUGAUGUUGCCAACGAGAUCACGCCAAUCAAAAUUGAUAACUUUGACUGAGCUUGUCUCAUGAAGGUAGUGAUUGCUCUUCUAUUGUAAGUAAUCUAUUGGCUUCUUAAAGAUGAAUUGGAACCUUGCUUUCUACUGCCUGCGAUUGUUAAUCACGUGUUGUUGUGCUGGUGCAUGACUUUGGAUUGUCCAUGCGCAUCAUUGUAUGUUCAUCCUGCUUGUAUACUUGGCCGAAUUCCAAGUAUGAGAAUUGGCUUAAUGAUGCAAUGGCGUCAAUUACCUGUCAUGGUUGAAUAUGAUGGUCGAAUUGCCCCUCAUUCUUGAAAUUGAUUUGAUCAUCGCAUUCCAGCUGCAAUUGUGCACUUUUG
This 81664-nucleotide long non-coding RNA is filed under the name Eucalyptus grandis. Its description in RNAcentral is "long non-coding RNA (EGRA_LNC003415)". The record is from RNAcentral. Lineage: Eukaryota; Viridiplantae; Streptophyta; Magnoliopsida; Myrtales; Myrtaceae.